Molecule: long non-coding RNA, 64941 nt
Filed under: Capsicum annuum
Lineage: Eukaryota; Viridiplantae; Streptophyta; Magnoliopsida; Solanales; Solanaceae
Description: long non-coding RNA (CANN_LNC009158)
Rfam family: tRNA (bases 35943-36005)
Source: RNAcentral
GCUUGCACUUUCUUAUAAAUAAUUUUUACAUGUGUAAGGUGUUAGUAUAAUAUAAAUUGAGACGUUUUCUUGAAAAGCCGAAAUCAUAUUUUUUUUAUCCUUUAAGCAUAUAUAAAUCAAAAUUGAACAAACUACAGUGAUGACCGCGCCAUAAAAUAUCAAAAACAAACUUUAAAAUAUCAAACCAAGUUAACUUGAUAUAAUUCUACAACUUCAAUGUUGUACUAUUUUUUUUUAAAAGUUAUUUUUCUAUUCAAAUCUUAAUAUAACAUUUUAAUAUUCAGAUGUAUAAUUUGUAUCAUCUUAAUAUUCAAUUAUAUAUUUAAAUGCACGCAUCUCGUCUUAAUAAAUCAAUAAGAACUAAGUGAAUAAUUUUAGAAUUUAAAUUCUUGACAUGUUUUUUAAGUAGUCAUACUAACAAGUAACAACCACCCCCCCCCCCCCCCCCCCAAAAAAAAAAGUAACAACCAAGGUAAGUUCUACAUGGUUAAUAAAUUAUUAUUAUUUCCCUUAAAAAGAAAAUGAUGGUCAUAGACCAUCUGUUUUCCCGAGUAACGAGUAAAUAGUUAUCCAAAAAUUUUUGUUAAGGCAGAUUAGAUCCUCGUAACCCCCUCUUUUUCUCUCACUGAAAAAGCACAAUCCGCGUCACCAGAAAAUGAUCCAUUCUACACCGUAGAUCUCACUUCCAAUCAACGGGUGAUGCUCAUUUUCCCACUUUCACGCGGAUUGAUAUUCCUAUCCGUCGAUUAACAAGUAAAUUCCCAAAUUUUAAACGGCUACGAUUCAUCCCCCGCCACAUUUUACCGCCCACGAAAUCCACGCCCCUCCAAAUCCCCCUUGUAUAAAUACCCUCUCCCAACCCCUCGUUUCUCAUUGACUUCAAAUUCCAAACCCUAGAUUCUUCUUUUUCUUCUUCUUCAAAUUCCCGUGUUUGAAAAAUGUCUGGUCGUGGAAAGGGAGGCAAGGGAUUGGGAAAGGGAGGAGCAAAGAGGCACAGAAAGGUUCUGAGAGACAACAUCCAGGGAAUUACCAAGCCAGCUAUUCGUAGGCUUGCUCGUAGAGGUGGUGUGAAGCGUAUCUCUGGUCUGAUCUAUGAGGAGACUCGUGGAGUUCUCAAGAUCUUUUUGGAGAAUGUGAUUCGUGAUUCAGUUACCUACACUGAGCAUGCCAGGAGGAAGACUGUUACUGCGAUGGAUGUUGUUUAUGCUCUUAAGAGGCAGGGAAGGACUCUGUACGGAUUUGGUGGUUAGAUUUGGGGUUUUUAGCUCUGGGGAAAUGGGUGGUAGGUAGUAACUGUAGCAUUUAGUUUAUGAUGCUUUUGUGGUUGCGUUGGUUGGUUCUGUUUAGUGUUCUUAUGGUCUAGACGCAUGUAAUAUCUGGUUACAUUAUCUAUGAACAAAGUUAUGUUUCUAGUAAUUCUAUUGUUCGGCUGCCAGUUGAUUUAUUUUGUUAUUUGAUAUAUCUGAAUGUUUUAUUAUCUGUUCAGUUCUUUGGAAAUUCUGUUUGUUUUUGGGUAUUAUAGACGUAGUGUAUUUCUUCUUGGCAUUGAUGUUCAAUACAUUCUCUUGGUUUCUAUCAAUGAUUCACUGUCUAAUUUUGGAAGAACUGAUGCAAAUUAACUAACAGUCAUGUGCUCUUGAUUUCAUUUGAUUCUAUGUCUGUUCACUUUCCUGAUGGUGUGUAAUCUUCACUUGUUGGAUUCUAAGUUUAUCCUUUGUUUUUGAGCUGUUAAAUCACUCUGUUAUUUAUUGAUUACCUGUCUUAAGAACAAUGGAAAAUUGUUGGAUGCUUGAAAGUGGAAUGCUCAACCCAAUUUUAAUAAGAUCUGUUCCACCCUAGUUUAACCAUUCAGCCAAAUUGAUUUCACCACUCACAUUGUAGCGUUUAGUUUCAGUAUCAAGUUGCCUCGCUCCGACCCAGAUUGUUGUAAAAUAAUAAGUAUUAAACACGAGAUUGAUGUGGAAACCAAUAUGAGAUAGUAUUAAGUUGUUUACCAUUUUUAUCAAUUUGUCAUUGCCAAAUGAUUACAUUCUAGUAAGCUUAUCUACAUUCUGAUCAGCAUUAUCAAUGAGCUGUCAAUGUCUGUAUUUUCAUCAGUAAUCGGUUCAUUGGUCUGGAACCCGUUCAUUAGCAGCUCCAUCUUGAUCAUCAUUUUGCUCAUUAGCAGCUCCUCCUUGUUCAUUAGGAACCUGUCCAUUAGCACCUCAUUAGCAGCUCCUUCUUGAUCAUUAGGAACCUGUCCAUUAGCACCUUCAUCUUGAUAAACAUUUUGCUCAUUAGCGCCUAUAUCUUGUUCAUUAGGAGGUUGUUCAUUAACGUCUCCAUCUUGUUCAUUAGGAACCUGUUCAUCAGCGUCUCCAUCUUGAUCAGCAUUCUGCACAUUAACGUCUACAUGUUGUUCCAUAGGAACCUGUUCAUUAGCGCCUCCAUCUUGAUUGUUAGGACCUUGUUCAUCAUCAUUCCAGUGAACAAGCUUUUCCCUGCCACAAAAUACUCAUUUGUAAUAACAUCUUACAGGUCAUACCGCAUAUGUGUACAGUCAAUCUGCACAUUCGUAGUUAGAAACUUACCAUUUCAUAUAGAUUUUCCUUCUCUAAUAUACAUGUAUGGUUGGUUGACUGCAAUCUGCAGAAAUCAAAAUUUCAGUAAUUUUUAUUUUUAAAAAGCAAGAUCGAAAUCAACCUGUUAAUGAAAAUGAAACACUCUUUAAUAUUAGUAUCUUACAACUUUCCACCCAAGCAGCAUUCCGCAUUUAACACAGUAUCUGCUAGUGUUUUGCCAGAUUUUACUUGAUGAUAUCUCACGCCGUUUGGUACUUCAACAUUAAACCUGCAUACAGCAUAUACACACAUGUAUAAAGUUUUGUAACGAAUGCAUAUAUGCCUCAGAUCGCAGAAAAACUUGAGGCGAAUAACAAAAUCACAAGAUGGUGAAAUCGUCUGUAAAAGCCCAAUUCCAAACAUGAAAUCACGACUCACACUUUAUUAAAGAUCCCUACAUCCAAGGAUUCCUGCAAAAUAUACAAUACAAGAAAAUAAGCAUAAUAAGUUUGUGUCAAGAAAUAUAUCAGCGUGCUGAAUAAAUUGCACUUCAUGACAGAAUAGCAGUUGAAGUUUAUGAAAUCAGUAGCAAUUUCAUUAGAUGAUACAACAUAGUUUUUCCUAGACGACUAGUUAAGUUUAUAACUAUACGCUGGAAAUUAAUACAUUUACUUUGGAGUAUCAAAGAAAAUGUCUGCAGCCCACAGAUAAUGGUUUGAUUUGUUCACAAAUAAGUUGAUAACAUAUUGCAAAAUAUGAUCAUUCAGAGAGAUUUGAGUGAUAAUCUGUUAAGAAUUCGUGCCCUACUGAUUUUCUUAUUUUCGCCUAACUUUUGCGUAAUGAUGGAACGUGUUGCCUGACGUGUUCCACUAACCUGUUUCAAGGAAGCAGUAAACAGAAAAUAAAGAACACAAUGAUUUUUACGUGGAAAACACCUGACUCAAAAGGUGUAAAAAGCACGACCUGCAUCUCUACAGAAUUUAACUCCAACUUCACUAAAAAACUCUUGACUGAUUACAAAACUCUUGUAACCAACAAAUAAGAAUUAUAAACUCUAAUCCCUAUGACUCAACAACUAGGAAUCGUAAACUCUAAUCCCUAUAACUCAAUAACUAGGAAUUAUAAACUCUAAUUCCUAACUAUACAUACAUCUCCCAAGGUAUGUGUUCCCAAAGUCUCUGAGUUUUCCCAACUCGAAGACUAGCUUCUAAUUCAGUUUAUAACACACUGAAACUAAUAUUACAUGAAUAGCUUAAAAUGGCCCUUUAGGCAAAACUUUUGGGCAUUUCCACUCAUCUUUAAGACCAAGGAGCCUUAAAAUUGUAUGCCAACCCUAAUUAAUUCUUAAUGCAACUUAGAAGCUUAACGCUAAAACUCUUAGCUGGAUUCUGUACUGAGGACCAGGUUCUUCAACGUGUUUUUUCAGUGAUUGAGUAGCACUUCGUGAAGUCAAUCUAUCGAUUGAGUUUUUCUGUUUUUUUAAGUGCGUGAAUUAUUCUGGCGGCUGCAUCUUCUAUUUAAGCACAACUCUCCAAAGAGUCGUUCUUUAUUUCAAACUCCUACUUCCAACUCUUGUCUCUUUAGUGUUGUAGUAAAACUCCAACUCUUUUAAAUUCUUCAAUUUUCAGAAUCUUUCUUCUUCCACACAUUGGACUCUUAAGGAUAUGCUUAGAAGUAAAACUUCUUUUCACAUAGGACUUCUUUUUCAACUCAACUUGCUUUCCCUUAUCAUCAAGUGAUUGAAUCAAAUUCAACUUGUUUCAUUCAUAUUGUCAUUCAUCAAAACUUCAAGGUUCCAACAGAAUCCAUACCAAAUUAUCAGUGAAAUCCUCGAUGAAUGCAAUUCGAGUUCCGCAAAUACCACAGUGGAUGCAAUCACGAGAAGGGGCUCCAUCAUAUCCAACUAAAAAGAGUCUUCCUAUUUUGUUGAAUCAAGAAGCAACUCCUAAUAGAUACCUGCAAAUUCACUUCAACAAUGAACAAAGUGGAAGAGCGAUAUAUCACACAUGCACUGCUGAAAAGUUAGUGGGAUAAAGACUAACUGAUUAUGAAUGUGAAAUGAAGAGAGCUGGUGGAAAAUGAGAAUUCAAGAAAGUAAAAUAAUGGCUGGUGAUUAAUACUCUGAUAGAGUAGAUAUAUAUGCCUACUUCUGAAAUGACGAGACUAAAUUGAUAUAGAAAAAUCACUUCUUGAUUCUUGAAUGGAUCAGUUGAGAAGACUUAUAUCUUGACCGUUAACUCAGAUAGGAGGCAAAUUUGUAUUUCAGUUAUGUUUCCCUUUCUUUUCCUCCUUUAAAAAAAAAAAAAAAAAGAGAAAUACAGUGUUUCUUUUUCUAAGUGUAUUAUUGUACUAUAUGAUGUUUCAUCUCCAAAACCAGAAAAAUGGUAUGUUUGAGUGCGUUAAGGGCGUUCGAUCAAGUUUCUACUUCCUAUUCUCGUUAGCUUUAACAUUAAUAUGGAGUACAAAUCCUCAAAUAUGAUUGAUUGGUCCAAGUGUAAGAAGAGAAAAUGUAUCUACAGUUGAGAGAAUCCAAGUCAUACUCAUGAAUAUUUCUUCGUUCUCUAGUAGCUAAUUACCAUGAUGUUGAUCGAUUGUCUAAACAGAUAUCUCGUGAAAUGGCAAAUCAGUAGAGUUAGCACCAUAAUGCCUCACACAGACCCAAAUAUGAUGUAAAACAGCAAGUAAAUAGAGUGUCAAAUGUCAUUCAGUAGGUUACCUUUCCCCCCUUUAUUCCUAAUUUUUGAAGCUAGAUCUUCGCAGUAUUGCUUUAAGUCUUCAUCACGGUUUCAGUCCUUCAAAACAAAUUAUAAGAAAAAAACAAAAAAAAUUAUUGGUAAACUCAGGCUUUAUCUUUUCUGUUUCUGGGUUGUCAAAAUGCUGCUUGGCUAGAAUCUUGACCCUAUUCUUGGUUUACUAUACACAAGCGUAAAUGGUUUCUCUUCUACCAUCAGACUUGAUCUCAACAGAAGUUACACACCAUUACACCGGGGUAUUACAAAAGCCUUGAUCUUUGAAAAUAUCAGGAGAAUCCAUAUAGCUAUUGGACUGUUAAGGCGAACCGAAAGCUGUCUGCUUGAAGGUAUAGCAAAGCAAAUUGUUUGCUAUACCAAUAUGAGAUUUAAAUGUAUUCAGUUGUAUAUACAAAAUGAUAGUUUAGCCCACAGCAAGAACAGGAACAUUAAGUUACAUAGAUUCACUAUCAAACAUCUGUUCAACUUUAUAGUUUUCGAGGGUUACACAUUUCCGAUACAUUAGACAACUGAACAACAGAAAGCAGAAUCCCAGAUUUCUAUGACAUGGGCGCACUAGAACUCGAGUUAGCAUGUGAUAGAGUCAUUAUUAAAACAGUUUUGUUGCAACCAUAUUCAGGUGACAGAACUCAAAAACCUGUAGGAGUAAAGGCCAUUGGAUCCACAAUUCUAAGCAUAUCAGUUUAGAUAAACUAAGCAUAUAGAGAAUGGUUGUACCAAGGCUCAAAUAGGUAAAAUAUUCGGUGUCAAUUGCUUUGUUGCAACCUGAAGUAAUAACAUGUACUGUGAUCCUAGAAUCGAAAGAGAACAAAGAAUAUCACGCAAUUAUGAAUUAGCAUUUUGUAUAGUUUGAACUCUAAUCAGAAUCUGUGUUAUCUUUCUGCAUUUUGAACAGCAUGAGUAGACUAUCAAUUUUCAUCAUUAUUAUCUGUUCCAUCAGACAGUUGAUCUACAUCUUCAUUCGUUUCAUUGGCGCACCCCCAUCUUCAUUAGGAUCCUGUUCAUUAACUCCCCCAUCUUGAUCAUUAGCACCUCCAACUUGAUCAUUAGCGCCUCCAUCUUGUUCAUUAGGAACCUGUUCAUUAACAACUUGAUCAGCAUUAUGCUCAUUAGGAGCCUGUUCAUUUGCACCUCCAACUUGAUUAUUAGCGCCCCCAUCUUGGACAGCGUUAUCAGGUACAACUUGAUCAGCAUUUUGCUCAUUAGGAGCCUGUGCAUUUGCACCUCCAACUUGAUUAUUAGCGCCUCCAUCAUGCUCAGCAUUAGAAGGUACAACUUGAUCAGCAUUUUGCUCAUUCGGAGCCUGUGCAUUUGCACCCCCAACUUGAUCAUUAGGAUCCUGUACAUUAACAUCUCCAAAGAGAAACUCAUGCAACGUUUCACCAUUCUGGUACCUAAGCAGGUGUCUGCCGCAAAAUACUCAAUUGAAUUAACACGUUACAAGUCAUACCGCUUAUAUAUGUGUGAAGUCUGUUUGCAGAUUUAUUAUUAGAAACUUACAAUCUUACAAAGUAUCUUCCUACUACAAAAUACUCGGACGGUUGGGCAACUGCAAUCUGAAGAAAUCAUAAAUUCUGUAUUUUUAGAAAAAUAGAGCAACAAAAUCGUCUUACUCAUGGAAUCAAAUUCUCUUUAAAAUUAGUAUCUUACUAGUUCCCAUGCGAUCACGACAAGACAAGUCAUACAGGAAAUAAUGGCUAAGGUAUCUCCAUCUACUACACUAUGAUGAUUCUCGUUGUUUUCUACAAUAACGUCAAACCUGCAUAUAAUAAACAUAUGCUUCAGACCUCGUAAAAACACUUAGGCAAUUUUUGAAAUCAUGAGACUUACAUUCUAUUAAUGUAUCCUCCAUAUAUUGCGUCCUGCGCCUGGACAGGAAAACAAACAUAAUUUGUUCUGUUCUUAGUCAAGAAAUAAGACUGAAAAAGAGCUGUCAAAAUUAAGGGAUUGGAAUCUUCUUUAUGAAAUGAGUGGCAAUUUCAUCUAAAUAUACGUACAAUAUAGUGCAGUUCUUCCUAGACAAAUGAUUUAAGCACAAAUUUAUUCCUAAAUUUGGGUAUCAAAGAAAACUUUUUGGUGUGCUCACAAGAAAUGACACAGAGAAAGAAUCCUUACAUUAGGAACGUAAUCCUCGAUGAAUGCAACUUGAUUACCGCAAAUACAGCAAACGAUGUAACCCGGCUCAUCGAGUAGAGCCUGUGCAUCUGCACCUCCAUCUUGAUUAUUUGCGCCUCCAUCAUGCUCAGCAUUAGCAGGUACAACUUGAUCAGCAUUUUGCUCAUUAGGAUCCUGUGCAUCUGCACCUCCAUCUUGAUUAUUUGCGCCUCCAUCAUGCUCAGCAUUAGCAGGUACAACUUGAUCAGCAUUUUGUUCAUCUCCAACUUGAUCAACAUUAGCUCCAUCUUGAUUAUUUGCGCCUCCAUCAUGCUCAGCAUUAGCAGGUACAACUUGAUCAGCGUUUUGCUCAUUAGGAGCCUGUGCAUUUGCACCUCCAUCUUGAUCAGCAUUAGCACCUCCGACUUGAUCAGCAUUUUGCUCAUUAGGAGCCUGUGCAUUUGCACCUCCAACUUGAUCAACAUUAGCACCUCCUACAUCAUCAGCAUUUUGCUCAUUAGGAGCCUGUCCAUCUGCACCUCCUCCAACUUGAUUAUUAGCGCCUCCAUCUUGGUCAGUGUUAACACCUCCAACUUGAUUAUUAGGAGCCCCUAAAUUAGCACCUCCAAAGAGAUAUUGACGCAACGUCACAUGAUUCUGGAACAUAAGCUGGUCCCUGCCACAAAAUACUCAUUUGAAUUAACACCUUACAAGUCAUACCGGGUAUGGGUGCAGUUUCAAUUUGCGAAUUUGUAAUGAGAAACUUACAUUAUGACAAAGAAUCUUCCUGGUACGAAAUACUGGUGCAGUUGGGAUUCUUCAGCCUGAAGAAAUCAUAAAUUCUGUAUUUUAAGAAAAAAAGAGUAACAAAAUUGUCUUGUUCAUGAAAAUCAAAUGCUCUUUCGUAUCUGUAUCUUACAAUUUGCCACCCAAGCAGCUCAUUACAUUGCAUACAGCAAGUAUCGAAUCUCACUACUUGGGUAUAUCCAUGUUCAUGAGUAUUCGGUUGUUCUCCUAUAUUAACGUUUCUCCUGCAUAUAUAAUAAACAGACCUCAGAAAGAAAAAAAAUCUUAGGCAAAUAUUCGAAAUUGCAUGAGACUUACAUAUUAUAAAAGUAGCCUCCAAGAUCUCUGUCUUGCGGCUGGACAAGAAAAUGAUCAUAAUAAGUUGUUCUGUGCUUAGCGUCAAGAAAUAUAACAGAAAAAGCAAGAGGGCAAACAGCUGGGGAUUGAAUCCUCUUUGUGAAAUAGCAAUUUCAUCAAAAUAUACUUUUUAUUAAACCAAUGACUGAUUACGAAUUUAUUCUUACAUGAUGAUUGAAAUCAUUGAGACGUGCAAUUUGAUUCCCGCAAGAACUGCAAUAGAGAUCAUAUACUGAGUUUCCUUGCAUUGUUGAUCAAGAAGCAACGACUCCUGUUGAAGAACAAAAUUUCUUCAAAAAAGAACAAAGUGGAAGAGAAAUAUGAACUUCUGAAAGAAUCAAUGGGAAAAAAAGAAGGACAAACUUGGAAAAUGAAGAUAUAAGAAUUCGAAAACAUGCAGAACGACUGAAUUUAAUGAGAAUGAGAAAAGAAUGUUAGUAAUAUAGAAAAGCCACUUCUUGAUUCUUGAAUCCAAGCUCUGUCUUGACGGUUAAUUCAAAAGGGAGGGAAAUUCAACUGUAUUUUAAUUUUUUAUUUUUACUUACUAGUAUAACAAAGAUUUUACAAUUUGCCCCUCCAAAAUCUGAAACUAGUCAUAUUGACAUUUAAUUUACCCCUUAACUAUACGCGUAGACUUAUGUGUAAAGAAUAAACGGAAAAGCCUCAAAAAUACUCUUGAACUAUCUAAAAUAGCUCAAAAAUGCACCACAUUAGCUUUUUGGCUCAAAAAUACCCCUCCCUUUAACAAAAUUUGGAAAAGAAUCAAAAAUACCCCUGAACUAUCUGAAAUGACUCAAAAAUAUCCCUCUGUUAAAUAUUUGGCUAAAAAAUACCCAUCUCUUUAAUGAAAUUCCACCAAGCAUGCCACCUAGAUAAUAAAAAAGGUAAACAACAUAAAUCCCAACACUUUGCUACCUAAUUACACUCUCUCCCAAUUUUUAUAUUAAUUGCUUAAUAUCCCGGAUAUAAUACAUAAGUUUGGUCCGGAUACAUAACCAACAGAUACAUAACUACCAAACUAAUUGACUGUAAAAAAGAAAAAUAAUAAUAAAAGAGAGAAUAAUGGAGCAAUUAAUACGAUUCUAAUUGAGCAAUUAUAUCUCUUUAAUUCUUCCAUCACAAGCCUUUUAUCCUUCUAUUUAUACUGCAAAGCUUCCUCCUUUAAUUCUUCAAUAGCUGUAACAAUAAUUAAAAACGAUAAAUAAAUAAUUAACUUCCUAAAAUAAUUCAGAAAAUUGAAAAAACAGAAGAAAAAAAUUGAGCAUCUUCGAUUUUUUCGAGUUCUUCUAAAGUAACAAUAAAUUGAUUGAGCUUUGUUAAUUUGUUGGAGAUGUUAUCCAUGGCAGAAACUUCAAUUAAAACAUCUGAAAUUAUUUUUGAGACAUAAAUAAAGUUCAAAUAAAGCUGAAUGUAUCAGAUGAAAAAAAACAAUACAAAUCAACUUCAACAUUUACUAUGUAUCAGAAGUAAUGGAUAUAUCUCAUACUUAUGUAUCAUACUCCUAAUGUUUAAUGUUUAAUGGAUAUAUCUCAUACUUAUGUAUCUUAUUAGUUUACUAAGACUCUUUUGUUGGAUUUCACACUUUUAAACCUAUUAACAGGAAAAAACUUAUUUUUUAGAUGAUCAAAGAAAUUUGAUAAUAGCGAUGUUACAUUUAAUAAUUUUUUUUUUAAAAAAAGUAUUAUGUAACUACCGUUUGUCUACUUUGAUUAAAAAUUAAAAAGUCGUGUAAGUUUUGCCCGUUUCACUGACGUUUUUAAAUAAAAUUAAAAAUAAAGAAGAAAGGAAUGUCAUAUAAUUAAAAAAUACUAACAUUUUACAUGUGGAUAGUAAUGUGGCAUAGUCACGUAGUUUUUUUUUUAUCUAGGUGGCAUGUUUGGGGGAAUUUCGUUAAGGGGAGGGGUGUUUUUGAGCCAAAUAUUUAACAGAUGGAUAUUUUUGAGCUAUUUCAGAUAGUUCAGGGGCAUUUUUGAACCUUUUCCGAAUUCUGUUAGAGGGAGGGGUAUUUUUGAAUCUAAUAUUUAACGGAGGGGUAUUUUUGAGCCAAAAAUCUAAUGAGGGGCAUUUUUGAGCUAUUUCAGAUAGUUCAGGGGUAUUUUUAAGCCUUUUCCGAAGAAUAAAAUUAUGAGACAGACAUUUGUGAAGCUUUAGUUAAUUGUGUAAAUUUCAUAAAUCUCAACAUUUUAGAAGUAAUUACAUCCCAUCAAAUUUUUUUAAUUAGUUUAAUCUCUCUCCCGUUUAGUAUACAUUCUGUAAAAGACAUAUACAUAACAAGUAAUGUAUAUUGUAAUCUGUUAGAGUCCUAGAAAACAGGGAGUAACAGAUAUUCAGCAUUCAUUGACGUAAAUGGCGCAACUAAUUUAAUACGUCGAUUAUUGCAUCCCAUAAAUCAUGUUUCAUGAACGGAAUUUCAAAUUUUAAAAAUCACAAAUACCUAAAAAUGCAAAUCUGAAGCAACAACAUAAAUCAAAAAUCAAAUUUCAUCUCUAUUUUUGUUGUUUACUGAACAAAGCAAAUUAUUUUCAAUUAUUGAAGAUGAAUAUUGCUAUUCUUGUAAGGUACUCGGGUAAAUGGAGAUCUCAAAUAGAAUAUGUGGAUUAUAAAAGUGAAGGGAUUGUUGUUGCUGAAUCAGUAAAUUAUAUGAGGUUGAUUUCAUCGAUUGCUGAUGAAAUAAACAUUGACGAAACUCGAAAAAAUAUUGAUGUACGUUAUGUUGUUGACGGGAAUGAUUCACCUUUUCAUAUCCGUAACGAUAAUAAUGUACGAUUGUAUGUUGAGUUGAAAAAAUCUCAACCGGCGUUCAUGAUGUAUCCGUUAUGUAUUUCAACAACAGAAAAAUGUGAAGAUGACAAAUUGUUCAAUAGGGAAAUAAGAGUUGUGGUUUGCCUGGAAGGUGUUGAAUCUGAUGCUUUGGCUUUAUUUAUUGCUGAGACACAAAAUGAGUAUGCUUUGUAUGUACCAGAGGUUGAAGAUAACUUGAUAUGCGAUAGCAAGAGUAUUGAUGUAAUGGUGAAAUAGUGUAUAGGGAUAAAAAUACGCUUGUUUCAGUGAUGUCGAAAUAUAAAGUGACUAAUGGAUUCAAUGUUAGAGCAAAACGAUCAGACAAAAAAAGGUGAAAUCAUAUCUUUUUUAUACUAAGCAGUAUGAUAUAUGAAGUCAUUGAAUGUUUUAUAUUAUUUGUUUUUAAUUAAAAUGUUAUAUAUAGUUGCAUGAACAUGUGUAUUUUUUUGUGCUAAAACUAAAAUCGAAAUACAAAUUAUCAUUGUGACCUUUGCAAUAUCUGUUUGUUAGUAUGUUGAAGUUAUGUAUGUCUAUGUGAGGUAAUGAAUUUCAAUUUACAAUUUUUUUUAUUUUCUGAAAAGCCAUUGGAUACAUACAACAAAACUGGUUACCAUUUUCUUCGUUAUUAACAUUUCUGAGGUGCUUGGUUUAAUAUACAUAUAAGUUGCUAUGUCUAUGAUUUUAAUUCUUUAUAUUAUCAGUUUUGGUAAGGGAAAACUGUUAUGUAUAUUAAAACAUAUACAUAAAUAGUUAUGUAUGUGUAAACAAAUACAUAACUGGUAACAUGUCAGCAGAUAUGUUAUUUAAUCCAUAAUCUGCAUACUUCGUUUUUAAAGUUUAUUAUGUGAGUUAUUAGAUUGUAUAUAGCUUUCUUUGAUGAAAUAUUAUGCAUGUCUAUGCUGUAUUAUGAUGGAUUUGUAACAAUUAAAUCGUUAAAACUUAUGAAAUGAUGCAAAAUAUAAUCAUUUGAAUAGUAUUUUUUAUAUUUCAGCUAUGUACUCCUUUGUUACAAUGAGAAAUAUACGUGAAAGUUGGAAGAAUCUAGUUACAAAAAAAUAGAUGUUUUUAUGAUACGAAAAUUUAAUCCAAAACAUACAUGCAAUUUGAGGGAUAGGGUACUGCAAAAUAUUUUGGCGACAACUUCUUUUGUAUGUGAAUUCACAGCUCCAAAACUAGUUAACUAUAAGAGAAGGCACACACUGGGGGACAUCAUUGAAGAAAUGAAAGUUGUAUAUGGUGUGGAUAUAAAUUAUAUGAAAGCAUGGCGUGCGAAGGAGUGUGCCAUCGCUUUGCUGAGGGGCGGACCUGCGGAUGGUUAUAGGCAGAUGCUGAGAUACAUUUAUAUGUUAAAAAAUGUAUAUCCUAAUUCGUACGUUGCAAUGCACAAAUCAUGGGAUAAUCGGUUCAUGUAUUUAUUUAUAGCAUUGCAUCCCAUGAUAAGGGAUUUUGAGUAUUGUAGGCCUGUUGUUAUUGUUGAUGGUGUACAUUUAAGUGGACUAUAUCAAGACACUUUUGUCUCAGCAAGUACUCCUGAUGGUGCAGGUAUGUGAAAAAUCAUAAAUCCCUGAUUUUUGUAAAACAUUCAUUGUAUUUCAUAUUUUUUUUUAAUUUAUUGAAAAAAAAUUGUUAACUUUUUUUUUUUGUAUUUAAAAAAAAACCAGAAAAAAUUGUAUUUAUUAUCACGUACGUAUUUAUGUAUAUUCUAAUAUACAUAUGUUAAACUAUGUAUAUGUUAACAUAUACAUAAAAAUUUUGUCCAGUAGACUUUCAAAAAAUCUUAGUGUUCUUCUACUAAUACAGUUUUUACUUAAUUUAGGAUGCAUAUUAUCACUUGCGUAUGGGAUUGUGGAUACUGAGAAUGAUAAUUCAUGGACAUGAUUUUUCAAUCAGUUCAAAGCUGCAUUUGGUGAACGUGAAAACAUGUGUGUUGUAUCUGAUAGGAACAAAAGUAUUAUAAAGCUGUCAGUGUCGUAUAUCCAAAUGUCCCACAUCUUGCGUGUAUAUGGUAUCUUUGGAAAAAUGUUUGUAGUUACUUUCAUAAGAGCAAAGAAAGUAUCAGUGAUUUGUUUUAUUCAAUGGCUAAAGCUUAUAGGAAAGAUGAUUUUGAAUAUUUAAUGACAAAGAUUGAAAAAGCUAAUCCGAAAGUGAAAAAAUAUUUACAAGAAGCUGGUUAUAAAAAGUGGAGUAGAUAUCAUUCACCGGUAAAUAGAGGUCGGAUGAUGACCUCGAAUAUUGCUGACUGUAUUAACGGUUGUUUGGUAGAGACCCGACGAUUGCCAAUAUAUGAAUUCUUAGAAGAAGUUUGAAUAUUAUUUGGUUCUUGGAACUAUAAGAACAGUGAAAUAGCUUCUUAUACAAGUAUCACUUUGGGGCGUCGAUUUGAAGAAAUUCUUACUCUCAACGGUGUGAAAGUUUUGAGAAUGAAGGUAUGUAUAAGCUUUAACUUUUUAAAAUGUGCAUUUAUAUGUAGUAUUUGUUUGACUGAAAAUAAGUGUAUUUAAAUUUUUAUUUCCAGUAAAAAAUAAUUGGUUGGAAUUUUGUUAUUUAUUGUUUAGGUGAAGGCUUCUUCAACAUAUAUAUAUUCAGUUUAUGAAUCUGGGAGAAGAUACAUUGUUGAUUUAGAAAAUGGCUCAUGCAACUGUGCAAGGUUUCAAAUAGAUCAAAUUCCUUGUGCUCACGCUAUAGCUGUAUUGAAGUCUAAACAUGUAAAUGAAAUUGGAGAUUACUGUUCAGAAUACUACAAGCCAAACACAUUGGUCAAGACAUAUGAGGUUCCAAUCGUUCCAAUGCCAGACAAGAAAGACUGGGAUGUGUCCAGCAGUGUAGAUGAAGAAGAAGUGUUGCCACCCUUAUACAAAAGACUUUCAGGUAGACCGAAAAAGGGGAGAAAGAAGAAAUCAAGUGAAACACUUUCUGAAAUCAAGUGAAACACUUUCUUCAAGCACAAAUCGUUGUGGACGAUGCGGCCAUGAAGCCCACAAUAGGCGUUUAUGUAGUUUUUUUUCAAAGAAGAACUAGUUUAUUGUUUUGUUAUACUCUUGAAGAGUACUAACUUAUUUAUUUUCGUGUUUUGUUUUCUUUUAAAUAAAUUAUUAUUUAUUUUGAUUUUAAUUUUAGUGUUAAUUUAUUUUUAUUAUUUGUGAUUUUUAUGUAUAAGCUGGUGUAUUUUCAUAAAACGUACAUAGCUCCAAUGUAAAAACUGUGAUAUGUAUGUUUAAUUUUUUUAAAAACUAAAUUUUGAAAAUCAACUGUCAUGUAUUUUCUUUAUAAUGUUGAAUUAACUUAUUGUUUUGCUAUAUUUAUGAAGAGAAAUGAAAUAACCUUGGAAACCAGUGGUACAGUUAUGUAUAUUAUAUAACAUACAUAAAUUGUAUUUAUAGCCUUUAACUCAUAUAUAUAUUUUAUAUAUAUUAUAUAUUAAUUAAUGUAGAUCAUUUAAUCUACAUAGCUCUAUUAUUUAACGUUUGAGUUGUAAAUGUAAACGUAUAGCUGUAAACAAAAAAUUUAAAAAACAAAUGUUAUGAGUUUUACAUACAGCGUUUAGUUAACUUAUUUCUUUAAUAUAGUUUCUGUUUCAAUUAAAUGUAUACUUAGGUAUAUUUUUCAACAUUUAUUAGUUAGUUAUAUAAUGUAAUAUGUAUAUUAUAAUAUAUACACAGAUUAAAAUUAGGAGGUCUUGUGUAUAUGAAAACCUAUACAGACAUUACAUUUAUGUAUAUUUAACAUUAUACAGUAUUAACCGUGAUGUAUAUUAAAAAAAUAAAUGUUAUGAGUUUUACAUAUAGCGUUGAAUUAACUUACUUCUUUAAUAUAUUUUUUUUUCAAUUAAAUGUAUACUAAUGUAUAUUUUUCAACAUUUAUUAGUUAGUUAUAUAAUGUAAUAUGUACAUUAUAAUAUAUACACAGAUUAAAUUUAGGAGGUUUUGUGUAUAUUAAAACAUAUACACACAUUACAUUUAUGUAUAUUUUACAAUAUACAGUAUUAACUUUUAUUGUUUACAAUCUAUAUGAAAACAUAUACACACAUAACAUCCACAAAUAUAUGUAAAUGUUGUCAUAUGCAACAUUCAUCAAAAACUGCAUUCAUCAUUGCAAAAAAAUACAUAUGUCAAAUAAAAACUUCAUCAUAUUCAUUAAAAAAAAAUUGUACUCUGCCUUACAAAACAACUAAAAUAAUUAAAACUUUGAAAAUUCCAAACAAAUUUCAGCAGAAUACAUUAAAAAUCUUAACAAUAUUCUUCAGUAAGACUACUCAAUGCAAACUAUUGCAUUAUCAUCUGAAAUUUGAAUAAUUCUCGACUUUGAUCUUGGAGGGUCAUCAGUUUCACUAACAUAACUUUUCUUUACUUUUUGAAUACCAUAUUUUCGAAGUAGUGUGGCGUAACACAUUCUAUGGUAUUCUUCUUCAAAACCAUCAGAAGGCACGUUCAUUUCUUCACUUAGGUAUUUUGCAUAACCAGCAACCUGUCAGACAUACAAAAAAUAAUAGAAGUUAUUAAGUAAUACUUACUAGCAAUGAAAAAUACAAAUACAUUAAUACAUGUACAGUAAUAUUGCAAAUAAAAAGAAUAUAUAAGUAUACUUACACAGUGUCGCAUUCUUGUUGCAUAAUAUGUUGAACAUACUCAACAUCAAAGAGAUGUUCAUUCAAAAUUUGUGUCGUUUGAGUAAUCUUAUCCCUAUAUGUUUCACGAUUAUGCCAAUCUGUACGAGAUAUUUCAUCAUAAAAUUUGCUGUCGGAGAGGUAAGUUGACAGCAUCUUAGCCAACUUUUGAAUCUCAGUAAUUGAUUCCGUAUUCCUUCGUCUGGACAGCGAAUCGUAGAUGCGUAUGCAUCUAUCCUUCAAGGCAAUAACAGCUAACACCCAGUGAAAAUUCUCAUUGCAGUUGAUAGGAACAUACACCUCAUCAACUUGGUGCCAUGGAAAAUCAGAUGGCGUGCAAUAUCCUUUGAUUAUAUGUGUUAUUGCCUCUUCAAUUAGAGCAACGCGAACAGAUUCAGCAUAAUUUUGUUAUGUAGUUAGGACUUUAUCUGUAUCAUCUUCAUAGUAUCUGGAGUAUGUCUUGUCAAUGUAGUUCUUAGGAAAACGGUUGUUGUGAACCUGUAAUCUUGAUCAUUCCUUAAUUUUGAUUUCUUCCGCAAAUGAUAGAAAAUAACAUCAAUAUGCUACAAAAGAGGAGAAAAAAUGAAACGAAUUAUGUGUUGUGUAAUAAAAAUUACAUACUUCUAGGAAGUGUUUGUAGACAUACAUCUAGAUAAUACAUGCAUAUACAUAAAAUAUGAUGAAACCUGAGUAUGCAAGAAAGUUCAUAACUACAUACAUUCAGUGAUGUAUAUUAAAUAUACAUACUGAUUAUCAAUUAUUAACAUACACUUUCAUUAGCAAUCUAAUACAUAUAUUAAGGUAGACAUAUACAUAUGUUGUUGUGUUAUAAUUGAGUUAACAUAUAGGUUAUAAUAUACAUAGAUGAUGUCCAUCUAUUUUAGUAGUGAUGAAAUUGUUAACAUAUACAUAAACUUUUUUUGUGUGACCUGAGGAUACUAGAACAAACAUGACACAAAAAUCAACAGUGAUGUAUAUUAUAAAGUAUAUGUAGGUGUUGUCAAAUGUCUAAACUGGUCAUAUAAAAAAUGAACACAUAUACAGUGCAAAAGCAUGAUGUACAUAAAUUAGAAAUUGAAAUAGUAGUUUAGGAGAGAAAUUGAAGUAUUAGUUUAAGAGAAACAUAGUUUAUUUAAAACUUAUUUAACACAUACAAAAUUUCUGAAGUAGGUUAACACAUAUAUACCAUGAAUGUAUGUAUACAACAUAACAGAACAAUUAAAAGCGAAUGAUUAUCAAAUUAAAAAAUUUAAAUACCUUAUUAUUCCAACACGUGUUCUUUUGAGACAUCAAGUAAAAUCAAUUUUUUGUUCGUGCAUGAGCAACCACAAAAUCAAUUUCAUGAACUCCUAGUGAAGAUGAUUUUGCUUUGUAGUAAUAAUCGUCAUAUUUUCUAUAAAAAAAUUAAAUUUGUUAUUAUAAAAAAAAAUAUAGUACAUUCAUUGAGUGAAAUAAUUAAUUUUAAUAUCGAUAAAAACUUACUUUUUAGCAUGAAACUUCAAUAAUCCUUCCUCCACCCACUGUUUGAACUCUUCAAUUACACUGCUUGAUAUAGUGUCAGAUAAUAGGAAACCAUCAAAAGCGAAUUGUUGUUUCUGCUCUUCGAUUUGAUCCUCAAUUGCUUUAGAGCCAGAAGCAUAUUCUGUUGUGUAUGGAGACUUGAAAACUUUGGAUCUCGUCCUGAUUCUCUUAACCAUCUUAGUAGGAGUUUUCGCAGCUUGAUGAGCCGCAACAAUAACAUCAGUAAAAUCAAGAGGAAGCUGACUAUCAGAGAUGUCGUGUUGGUUCACAAUUGGUUCUGCCAGUAGAACUACUUCUAUAGGAACGUCAUCAACUGGUGCUGCAAUAACUUUCAAUAUCGCAUCUAACUCGACUUGAGCCGAUUCAGGAAGUGUACUCGAAUAAUCAACCUAAGAUUAAAUUUGAAGUAUGUAUUGUUAGAUUUGGUUUAAUGCGCACAUAGAAGUAAUGCCAUGUGUGAAAAUUAAGACAUUUAGGGCGUAAAAAAAAAUUGGUGAAGUUACCUGAAUAUUAGAUGUUUCAACAUUAUCAUUAUCAGGUUUCUGAUUUUCUACAGUUGCGACUAGACAUUUCAAUGUGGCAGGCCUAAAAUCAGCACUAACUCCUUCAUCAUCCUUGAAAACAUAACACAAAAUAUAUACAAAAGUAGUUCAUUAUUUAGAUUUAACUAUAAGCAAAAAAAUAGUACAUUUCUUACAUAUUUGGCCAAUGGAUGAAAAAGAAUGGCUUUAUUUAUUUACCAUGUGAUCAUUAUGGACAUGCACAGUAGUAGAUGUUCCAGCAUUGGUGUUGUCAGAAUUGUGAUUUGCUACGGAUUCUACAAGAGCAUCUCGGAUGGCAGUAGCAUUAUCCUCACUGCAUCCUUUGACAUCCUACCAAUCAUAAUGUAAAACAUAUACAUAACUAAGUCAGUUCAAUGUUUUAAUUAUAAACAUUAAAUUCUGAGAUGUUUAACUUGUGAUUGUUGUUGUAUGAGACUGCGAUUUCAAUCAAAGUAGUGGCCAUCCAUUGAAUCAUCAGCAGAGUAUACGUUUGUUGAUUUAUCUGUCUCGUAAAAAAUCUACGAAUAAAAAAUAAUUAUUGCUUUAUAUGUUAAUUGCUUUCAUAAUUUGUGUUGUGUUGCAUAUGUAUAUUAUAAUAAUAUACAUAUAAUAUAAUACGUAUACAUUAUAACGUAAAUAUAACUGUCGUUAAACAACAUUCAAUUUGUACCAAAUUCUAAGCUGGAUAAAAAUCAUAAAAUUAAAGAAGUAACGAAAAAGUAAUAUAUGUAACAAAGUAUGUAUAAUUAUCACUUGUGUGUAAAUACCUUUUUUCCUUUUUUUUUUCAAGGUUUUGAAGAUUUCAAUAUCUUCAACAUAUUCUUUAGAUAGUACGUUUCCUAUUUUUUCUUCUCCCUCUUGCUGAUGGUGUUGAAAUAAGUACAGUAUAUUCUUUAGAAAAAAGUUAAUAACAUUAACGUGAUCUAAUAAUAAUGUAUGUUUAAAAAAGUACCCCUUUUUGUAUGCCUUCAAUAUUCUGCAUGAUAUCCAUCUCGUCUGCUUGAACUUGUGUUGAUUUUUCUCCGACAGUUGAACCAUCCAAAACAUGAACCUUUAUAGUUUGUUGUAGUAGAUAUAUCAGAUACUAUGCCAUUUCAGUCUAAUAUACAUAGAUAUAAAAUACACAUAGUAUAAGUUGAGAUUUUUUUGUGGACUUAACACAAAGCUUUUAUGUAUAUUAGUUAAAAUACAUAUCAUCAUUGUCAGCUAUUAUGCCAAUGCAACUAUCAAUUCGAUGAGAAAUAUAUAAUAUACAUAGCAUGUUGUUGGUAUAUUAUAUACUACAAUGUAACAAUUUAUGUAUGUUAUAUUACAAACAUUAAAUGUAUGUAAUAUACAUAGCUAUACACUACACAUCAUACUUAUGAGUAUAACUUAUUAUUAUAUUGUGUAUUUAACUUAAAAUAGUUAUAUAUAUUAGUUAAUAUACAUACCAUAAUUGGCAGAUACUAUGCCAUUGCAACUGUCAACUCCAUGAGAAAUAGUUAAUAUACAUGGCAUAUUGUUUGUAUAUUAUAUAACACAAAGUAAGCAUUUUAUGUAUGUUAUAAAUCACUGUACAAAUAAUAGUUAAAUAACACGUAAUACAAUUCUAAUUCAGAAUAUGUAUAAACGCACAAAAUUGAAUAAAAAAGAAAUACAAAAUCAUGAAUUGUAUAAGUUAAAUGAUUUUUGGUGUACCUUUUUAUUUUUUUGGCUGUGGUGUUUCAACAAUUGGAUGAGUUCGGCAUGUUGUUUAUCCAUUUUUUCAUUUGAGUCAUUAUGUUGUUUGACUAUUAGAUCAUGAAGACAAUUGAUUUUUGUGUCAACCUGCAUGUCAAAAUGAACUUACAUAAGACUACAUGUUGAUGAAAGUUGAAUUUUGUGUAUACCAGCAUGUCAAAAGCUAAAGAAAGUUGACUAUUAGAUAUGAAUGAACUUACAUAAAAUUACAAAAAUAACUUUAUAUCAUCCCACUUUUCAUCAGAAUUGUCCUGACAAACUGACUUGAGUGACGAUGAUGGAGUUGUCUUUUCGGCAUGAACAUGCUCCGAACCUGAAGAAGCUGUUUUUUGGGUUGGCAUAGUUCUUGUUGAAACAAAAGAUGGUGUUUUCUGACAAACUUUCUCCUCGACAGUUGUGGAAUCAAAACGGACUAUUUUUCGCUUCUUAGACGGAUGAGAUGUUGAAGAAUCAGUAAUCAAACCUGCCUUCUUGAGAAUUUCUGUAGGAGGGACCGUACUAAAUACCUCAAAACCUUGUAUGUCGAGGUCCACUUGGGACUGUACAUCGACAACAGGUUUUUUAUCGAAAUAAUCUACAACAAUUUUUGGAGGAAAUCCACUUUCAACAUCUUUUAAUUGAAAUCCCUCAAUCAUUUGCAAAUCAAGACUUUGUACUUCUUCAUCAGUUGGUCGUAUAUUAUUGUAUACUAACUGUUAAACAAUAAAAAAUAGCAACAUUAAUAGUCUGUUAAAGUAAGCACGUUGAAAAUUAAAACUAAGAUCGAAAUAAUAUACAUCAUACUUACCUUGCUGAACAUACCAGCCAUAAAUUUCUCGUACUUAACUUUGGUUCCAACCACCUGCCAGUUGAAAAUUCGGGGAAUUACAUUUCCCAUCCGCUCGGCUAUUGUACUGUCUACCUCAUAACAACAUUCAUAUAUCCAAACAUUCAGCACGUAAGGCAUUCCCCCCAUCGAGUAUAACUAUUUCGCAACAAAAAAAUCCUGUCUCUACAAUGCGAUAAGUUUUUUAAAUGAACUCUUCUCCCAUAGAAAUUGUUCGUAACUACCAUUCUCAACCAUCACAAAAUUCGAUUUGCUAAUUGUAGAAUCACGUACUUGUGAAUACAGAAAGGUGUGAAUGAAGUAAAUUAUUGACAUAUUCAGAGCAUCAGAAUUAUUUUCAAAGUUGCCCAACUUGAAUUGCUCUAUAAAGACUCCUUUUGACAGAACUCUUAGAACCUGAAAAAUACUUCGUCAUUAAUGCGGACUUUGAUGUAAAAGAAAAGAGGUGCUCCUCGAUGUUUCCUGAACAUUUAAGACCGGAUAUAAUGGCAUACUCAAUAAUGGUAAACUUGAGUGUGGUUCCUGGCACGUAAAAGUGUAUUUCAUCCGGAUUGUCUUGUUCUAUCUCGAGCAUGAGUAAGCAUUUGGAUAAUUGACCCUGAUAAUUAUAAUUCGGGAUGUCUAGGAAUGAACCAAAAAUUAUUUGUCGGAAUAAAUUUACGACUUCUUCACCAAGAUAAUUUUUUAUUUCUUCUCCAAAUUUUCGAUUGCAAUAACUACCGAAAUGCAACGAAUGCGCAGGGACCUUUCUUAUCCUGUAUUUCAUACCCUAUUGAGAAAGAAACAACACAUGAUAUGUGAGCAUGUGUUUUUAAAUGAAAAAACACUAAACUUAUGUAUAUUACUAACAUAUACAUAAAAUUGACUUGUGAGAAGUAUUGAUUCUAAAACACAGAAAAUAAUAUAUCAUUAGUGAUGUAUAUGUCAAUAUAUAUAUAGCUGAUAUCCAUUAUGUAUAUGCAGUUCACAUCACAGUAGUUGUCUACCAACAUAUUGAAGUUUAUGUAUCUAUUAUUCAUAAACACAUGACAUGUUCAGUGCAUCAAACUAAAAUAACAAAACACAAACUAUAUAAAACACUAAAAUAACAAGACAUAUCUAUGUCAAUAUGAGCAUGCGUUGUAAAAUUAAAUACUAAACUUAUGUAUAUUACUAUCAUAUACAUAAAAUUGUAUUGAGAGAAUUAUUGGUUCAAAAACACAACAAAUAAAAUAUCAGAAGUGAUGUAUAUGUCAACAUAUACAUACCUAAUAUCCAUUAUCUUAAAUACCUCUUCAAAAAACAUACACAUAUACACAGAAAAAUAUGAUGUAUAUGCAGUACACAACGCAGUAUUAGGUUUGUAAAAACUAACUUAUGUAUAUGUGCUGAGUAAUGUAUGUGUAACACAUACAUGCGAAUUUACAUAAACCCAAUAUUCAUUUAUGUAUAUGUGCUAAGUAAUGUAUGUGUAACACAUACAUACGAAUUUAUGUAAACCCAAUAUUCAUUUAUGUAUAUUAAAAUAUAUAGAUCACUGUAUUUCAAAUAAAAAGCUCACCACAAAUUUAUCUACCCAACAUAUACAGAAACGAAAAAAUUAUAUAUACCUUAGGAAGACGUGGACGUCCAGAAUCAUCUUUUUUGGAUAAUCUUGAUGAUUUUUCAACUGUUUUUUUCGACUUCUUACCAGCAGUUUUUCUAAUCUCUUUCAUCUUGUUGGGGUUGUUACGAAAUUUAGAUAUGUUUUCAACAAAGUUAGGUUCCUCAUAGUUAAAAACUUCGGGAACGAAUCCAACUACCGCAAUUUUGUUAAAUUAAGACCCCCCAAAACAUACUUAAUAAGAACAUGCAACAAUUUGUUCUUUCGAAAAACCCCAAAAUUGAAUUAAGGAGAAUGCUCCAUUAACAAAGUACUAAGCUGUUAAUAUCGUACUUCAAAUGGACGAUUUCGAAAAUUUUGUUAAAGAAGAAACCCCAAAAAACACUUAAUAAGAACAUGCAACAAUUACUUCAUUCAAAAAUCCCCAAAAAUCGGUUCAGUAAAUGAUGAAAAAAAAAAUACUAACCUCAACACUUAAAAAUCAGAAUAAUCAAUGGAGAUUAAGAUAAAAUUUAGUGCCUUAAGUUGGAGCCAAGUACAGUUGUAUUCAAAAUGGUAACCGAUGCUUGAUUUUAGGAGAGUUUUAAGGAUGAAAAAACGGUAAAAGAAUACAUCUUAUGUAUAUUUGCUUUUAGAGAGAGAAACACCAAAAAUGAGAUUUUUGUAAUAAGUUUGAGAAGUUGGGAUUUUUUAUAAUUAAUGAAAGAUAAGUUGUGUUAUUUUGUAAUUUUUAGUUAAUUAAAUACUACGUUAUACUGAUUUAUUGGUCCACAUUAAUACUGUACCCAAUCCAUAAAUUAGUCGACCUUUCUGAAUUUAUUCAUUUGAUAAUUGUUGAUAUUAGAUUUGUAAGAUUACAUCAUUGUUAAAGCUAAGUAAGAAGCCUUUGUUUAGAAUUGGAGCUAGUUUGCAGAAAUCCAUGCGAGCUUGAAUCAUGUUAAGAGUGUUUUUGGAUUGUUCUUUGAACUAAAAUAGCAAUUAAUUUCAUAUUUCUCAUUUGGAUGAUUUGCACUUUCGCCUCUAUUUUAUACUGAUUUUAAUUUUUGUCUCCUAGGACAAUAGCUUUUUUAUGGGCAUAAAGUUACAUUUCAUAUCAUAAUAUCUCACAAGUCAUGGCGCGCUUUCUUAAAGAACUUAUGCAACUCUAAUGUAGAAAGAUACACAAUUUGAUAGCCUAUUAGUGGAACGCUACGCAUUAGUUUAAUUGCAAACAAUAAAAAGUAAAGACCAACCUAUUUGAAGGGCAACCAUGCGAUCAAACAUUUUUAUGAGAAGCCUUAAAGAGAACAUAAAUUUAUGACUUAGUUAAAGUUAUAAAUUAAAAAAAUUAGCUAUAUGACAUGCUCGUAGGGAUGAGAAGGUGCCUCCUAAGCUGAAAGACAAAUUCUAUAGAGUUGCAAUUCGUCCGGCCAUGCUGUAUGGAGCGGAGUGUUGACCAGUCAAGAACUCUCACAUCCAAAAAUUGAAGGUUGCGGUGGAUGCGUGGACUUACUAAGGGUGGCAGGAUUAGGAAUGAGACUAUUCGGGAGAAGGUAGGAGUGACGUCGGUGGAGGACAAGAUGCGAGAAGUGAGGUUGAGAUGGUUUGGGCAUGUGAUGAGGAGGGGCACUGAUACCCCAGUUAGUAGGUGUGAGAGGUUAGCCUUGAAUGCCUUCAAGAGGAGUAGGGGUAGGUCGAAGAAAUACUGAAGAGAGGCGAUUAGACGUGACAUGAAGCAGUUACAGUUUACUGAGAACAUGAUCUUAGAUAGGAAGGUAUGAAGGAUGCUUAUUAGGAUAGAGGGCUGGUGCGUGUGGACGAGUCGUAGUCGGUAGCUAGGAGUGCUUUGGGGUAGCUUGGAUAGUAGUCGUAGGGCUUUGUACAUAGGUUAGAGCUUCUAGUUAGGAGGGUUGAGAGGAGGUGUGUGUGCCUUUGGUUUGUUACUAUAUAGUAUUUGUUUGUGGGUGUUGUAUCUCUGUUGUUUCAUGUUUUAUGGCGACUUUUUUACUGUCAUUGUGUCCUGAGUCGGGGGUUAUCAGAAACAACCUUUCUACUUUUUUCAGAGGUAGUAAUAUGGACUGCGUAUAUUCUACCCUCCCAACCCUACUAUGUGGGAAUAUAUAUUGGGUUUAUUUGUUGACAUGCUCGUAGGUUGUAAUAUGAGAAGAUUUUUUUUCUUUUACAUAAUUGUAAUUAGUAGGUAAUAAUGAACUACUUUCGUCUCAUAUUAAUUGGUCAUCUUAUUAAAAAUAAAUAUCUCAAAUUAAUUGAUCACCUAUAAAUCAAGACAGAAUUAAGUAAAAUUUUUUUAUUUUUCCCCUAUAAUUAAUAUACUCUUUGAAAGUUUCAACAAAUUAUCUUUAUUUCCAUUAAUAUGUAUAAAGAGUAUACUAGUAAAAUUCGUCAUUCCAUUAAUAAUAUUUUAAGCAAGGUACAAAAUAAAAAGUGCUGAACUAAUAUGAGAGAGAGGGAAGUAGGAAAUAACUUAGUGCGAGAAAGAGAAAACUAAUGCUCUUAGCCUCUUACGAGAAGAUCUAUUUACAUCCCUAGAUCUUCUUUCACAUGGAUCGCAUUCCCUUUGAAUCAACGGGUUAUAUUCAGUUUCCGCCUCUCACAUGGAUCGAUAUUUCUAUCCGUCGAUUAACAAGUAAAUCCCCAAAUAUUUAACGGCUACGAUUUACUCCCCGCCAUAUAGCAAAUUCCCCCCAAAUAUAAAUACCCCACCACCAUCAUCUUCAUUUCUCAUUCAAAUUCAAAACCCUAGAAUCUUCUUCUUCUUCAAAUUUCUCUGUGUGAAAAUGUCAGGCCGUGGAAAGGGAGGCAAGGGAUUGGGAAAGGGAGGAGCCAAGAGGCACAGGAAGGUUCUAAGAGACAACAUCCAGGGAAUUACCAAGCCAGCUAUUCGCAGGCUUGCUCGUAGGGGUGGUGUGAAGCGUAUCUCCGGUCUGAUCUACGAGGAGACCCGUGGAGUUCUCAAGAUCUUUUUGGAGAACGUGAUUCGUGAUUCAGUUACCUACACUGAGCAUGCUAGGAGGAAGACUGUUACUGCUAUGGAUGUUGUUUAUGCCCUCAAGAGGCAGGGAAGGACCCUCUAUGGAUUUGGUGGUUAGAUCAAUUGUUAGGUAGUAGAUGUACAUCUGCUGGAAAUUUCUGUUGUUUCUGUGUUCUUGUUUCGAUCUACUUCUUGGGUUCCAGAUAUUGUAAUUUCUCAUUACAUAUUCAAUGAACAGCUGCUCAGUUUUUAGAAAUUACAAUUAUUGUCUUUUAGCUGAUUGUUAUUGUUGUUUAGUUUUUAAAGUUCUCAUUGCAUAGGUUACGCUUAUAUACAUCACCCAUUUCUGUAACAGGGAUUUAACUGCUAAAAGUUGGGAGAAAUGACGAGAACUGGUAUUGAACUCAUUGUUGCUAAUAGAGUCUGCACUGCGUAUUUCCUAAUGUGCCAAACUGUACUGGUUCUGAAACUUAGUUAAUAGGUCAGGUUGCUCUUGUUGAGACUCUAUUAGAAAAGAUACAUCUUCAGAAAUAGAUGUAUCUUUGAUAGGAAAACUCUACUAUGAAUUCAUACCAAAUAGGACUACAUGAUUUAUGUUUAGGUGUCUUAGGUAGCGAUAAACUUCAGUUGCUCUCAAUCAGCAAUUGUUUGACAUUACACAAGGCGACAACAAAUGUAUAUAAUCAUUGUAAUUGAGUUCACUUGGACUAACUUCUCCACUUAUGUAGUUUGAAACAUGUCUGUGUUUACCAACUAGUAGGCAAUAGCAAAUCUUGUUUGGGCAAGUCAAGUUUGAGGAUCAUUUCUAAGUGAUGCAAGUGUCAUGCCCUCAAGGCCCUUCACAAGGAGCCAAGCCAAGAACUUCAACAACUUCAAGCUUUAUUCAUGCACUUGAAAGUUUGUGAAGGUGUUGUAGAUUCGGCCAAGGGAGGGAAUGCAUUGAUUUGUGAAGAAGGGACUUGAAGAGUCUAUAUUCUACAAGGGGCUAGAUGGACUUUCCACUUUAUAUUCCAACACUCAAGGGUCCCCCCUUCUCUUUAGCUCAUUAAGGGUAGUUUUGUCAAUUGACAUGUAAUUGUAUAAAUAGACAAUUUCUUCACCCUUUCCAAUAGUUUUUGAUGACAUUGGAUAUUACUCAUAGUUUGUAGUUUUAGUCUUCUAAUUAUAGCUCUAAAUCCGAAACUUGGUACCUUGAAUGCAAUUGAAUUGGUUUUCACUUGUAUUGAGUAAUUUGGCAAGAAAGGUGAAAUUGAGGGAGUGUGAGUUCUUUGGUCCACCUAAGAGGAAGUUGUCACGACCCAACUUUUCAGGUCAUGAUGACGCCUACCAUAACCCACCAGUAGACAAGCUAACCUGUAGUCCGGAAUGGCUAGUAACGGACUACUUAAUAACAUAAGAAAAAGAAUGCGGAAUAUAUGAGAUAAAGAUCAAUAUAUAGAUGAAUCCCAAAACCUGGUGGUAGUAGUACAAGAGUUUCUAAACAUAAUAAGAGUACAAAAGUGAGAUAUCAAGGAGAAAUACACUGAUUCAACUUACCUCUGAAUACAACUUAGAGGCUAGUCUAAUACAUAGGAGAGAGAUAAAUAAUACUCCGAACGUCAGGAGCUCACUCUAAGUCUCCGAAUCAGGGUUACUCAUAACUCGUGCUAUGAUUUGCAAGCUGCAGAGGUGUAGAAUGAGUACCAAACGAAUGGUACUCGGUAGGCAACUGCCAACCGAGAUCCAAAGAUAAAGUAGAUAAUACAACAUAUAAACAUAAUGGAAACUACAACCAAAAGUCCAUAAAUCAUAUAAUAAGUCAAUGAGAAUAACAAGGGACAACUAUCAUAUUUAUGUCCAAGAGUCUAAAAUAAGAAGACUAAGGAGUAAUCAAGGUGAACUAUCCUGUUCCGGCUACAUUCAAUAUAUGCCAAUGCUAUACCGUAUAUCCCAGGUCAAUAUACAAGUAAAGAGCGAAAGAAAAAUAGAUUGUAAUAUACAAGGCGAAAGAACGACUAUACAAUAUGAACAAUGAAUGUUAAGAUUGAUAUUGGAUAGAAUGACUUAGUAUUGAAUAUACAUAUAAGUUUGGAGAUUAGAUAGGGUUUUGGACCCGUAGGUUGAAUUACUUAAUACCCUUAUAGAAUCCUAUUGCCUUCUCCCUAGUUUGGGUAAAUUUGUAGCAUGGAUAUGAUAUAAUAUUAUGCUCGGAAUACGGUUUUAGCAUCAUUUGAAGCAUGAUUUGUUUUAGCCUUAUUGGGCUAGUGUGAUAGUUUUGGAACCGUAAGUUUGGUAGAGUUGACUUGAGUACCCUUUUUUCUAGUCCAAGUUACUAUCUUAGGCGUUAAUAUGACUUGCUUGACAUCUAGAGGAUGAACUAGAUAACUUAGCCUAGUUUGUAGCCUAGUUUGGAGCAUAGUAUGCCUAAUUAUGGAAAUUAUGGAUUAGAAGUGGGAUCAUCCGGCCCACUUAGGCCAAGAUUUGUGUUAGCCCUUGUGGGCUUAGUUGCAGAUAGUAGACCUAGUUGAGACUAAUGAGCCUUAUUUAUGAGAAUUACUUGGUGAAUUGAUAAAUUGUGAUGAUUUUCGUCGGAUUAUGAUUAGUGGCCCAUAGAGAUGCAUUUUCUUCUUUAUUAUGAUAUUUGACCCAUAGAGAUGCAUUUUCCUUUUUAUUAUGAUAUUUGUCCCAUAGAGAUGUAUUUUCCUUUUAAUUAUGAUAUUUUGCCUAUAGAGAUGCAUUUUUCCUCUUUAUUAUGAUAUUUGAUCCCUAGAGAUGCAUUUUCCUCUUUAUUAUGAUAUUUGGCCCAUAGAGAUGCAUUUUUCUCUUAAUUAUGAUAUUUUGCCUAUAGAGAUGCAUUUUCCUCUUAGUUAUGAUAUUUUGCUCAUAGAAAUGAUUUUCCUUUUAGUUAUGAUUAUUGAGCCUAUAGAGACAAUUUUCGUCUUGGUCAUGAUGGAUAACCUAUAGAUAUGAGAUAUCUAAUAGAGGCGAUAUGCUUGUUGAUAUUAUGCCUCCUAGAUGUGAGAUGCCUCCUAUAUGUGAGAUGAUUAUAGAUAUGCUACGGUUUAUAAAAUUGAUUAAUGAUAUGAGUCCCGGAUAUGUAUAUGGGCCUAAGGCCAUGAUUAUGAUGUUGUGAUUAUUCUGGAUAAAUUAAUGGGCCUAGGUCCGUGUUAUGGUACUGAUUAAAUAUCCAAGAAGUGUUUAUCAUUGNNNNNNNNNNNNNNNNNNNNNNNNNNNNNNNNNNNNNNNNNNNNNNNNNNNNNNNNNNNNNNNNNNNNNNNNNNNNNNNNNNNNNNNNNNNNNNNNNNNNNNNNNNNNNNNNNNNNNNNNNNNNNNNNNNNNNNNNNNNNNNNNNNNNNNNNNNNNNNNNNNNNNNNNNNNNNNNNNNNNNNNNNNNNNNNNNNNNNNNNNNNNNNNNNNNNNNNNNNNNNNNNNNNNUUAACAAAAAUAGGAUGAAUAGUUGAUAAUAAUGAAUGAUGGAUAAAUGAAGGUUUUAGUCUAAUGAUGAACCUAGACUAGAUGUUAGAUGUUGACUAUUAAAUGAAUAGUGGUUAUUUGUUAUCCCGUGAAUAAGGAUUAUGUGAAGGAUAAUGUUUAGGCUAAUAACUAGAGGUUAUGUGAUGACUAGCGAACUAGCGAUUUAAUAAUAAUAAAUGUUGGUUAGCUAAUAACGAGUAAUUUUAAUGUAUUGAUAAGAUAGAUAUCUUUACGGUUAUGAGUAUAUCGACUUGCGUCUGUGCACCUAUUAUAUGCCUAUAUUUAUGUGUCGAGAGUUAUGAUGAUACAUUGAUACCCAGCAAGGACGGAGGAUAUUAUGAUGAUAUUGAUACCCGGUUCGAGUCCGGAAGAAACUAUUGAGAUGAUAUUGAUACCUGACAAGGCCGGAGGAUAUUAUGAUGAUAUUGAUACCCGGUUCGAGUCCAUAGGAUACUAUUGAGAUGAUAUUAAUACCCGACAAGGCCAGAGGAUAUUAUGAUGAUAUUGAUACCCGGUUCGAGUCCGGAGGAUACUAUUGAGAUGAUAUUGAUACCCGGCAAGACCGAAGGAUAUUCUGAUAAUAUUGAUACCCGGUUCGAGGCCGGAGGAUACUAUUGAGAUGAUAUUGAUACCCGGUAAGGCCGGAGGUUGAUGGCGAUGAUGAUGGUCCUAAUGAGGACAGUUGCAUUGCGUUAUUGAUGGUAUAUUUUGCAUUCAUUCCUGCAUGCGCAUCACCUAUCACCAGUAUGCACCUAUGUCUAUCAGCUGGUAUGGGACGGUUGCAUAGAUAUGGGUGAAAAAUAUGCCUUGUGUUAUUAUAUGUUGAUUGAACCUUCCGAGUCUGGGGUGGUGGGGGUACGCAUAGGCUUCUGAGAUCGUUUCGCUGAAGUUUUGGAUCAGUGGCCAUUUGGAACCAACGAAGACUUCUGAAUAGGGAGUUGACUCUAAAAACCAAACGAAUUGCCCGGUAACCGAACCCCCAGUCCCAGCAAGUCAUAAAUGACUUGGGGUAGCUAUGGAGAAGCUCAAACGGUGAAGAUAAGCAUAAAUAUGGAAAAUGAACUGAAGGGUCAUUGCAAAGGUUUGAGCUUCUAUUGGUGAGGUGUGAUUGAUGGUUUGAUACACCAUCUUUUGUUAAUCACUUGAUAGGAGUAAAGGCCCGUCUUUCUACCUAUCUUUAUUUUCAAGCAUUCUUCUUCAUCCUUUUCUUCUAAGUGUGUUGUUUUCCUUUAGUGGAGCUUGCUGAUUUUUAUUAUUUAGAGUCCAUUUUUGUGUGUUGAUAGUCUUUAGACUAUAAGGAUUACUUCAGAAGGGUGGCUGCAAUUGGUCCAGCUAUAUAAGAACAGCAAAUGUAUAUAUCUACAUUGCAAUAGCCUUUACCAAAGGAUUACUUUGCUAGAUGAAACGGAUUAAAUACAUCUGUUCAAGUUUAUAGAUUUCAAAAGGUUACACAUUUGCAAUAUAUUAAAGAACUGAACACUUGAAAGGAGAAACCCAAAUCAGUAUUAUAUGAGCCCUGACACUUGAGUUAGCAUUCACGCCCCUUCUCUGUGGCUUUGCAAAUUUCAGUAAAUUACAUCCAACAAGCACACAACCCAAAAAGCUGUAAAUAUGCUUCGUGUAGCAGAUUUGAAGAUUUCAAGUUAAAUGGGUCAAACAUCACCACCACCACAACAACAUACCCAUUGUAUUCCCACAUAGUGGAGUCUGGGAAGGGUAAAGUGUACACAGAUCAUACCAUUGACGCAUGUGAAGUAGAGAGGCUGUUAAAUGGAUCAAACAUCACCAUACUACAAAGUAACAAUAUAGUUUUAACCAGAUACAGAAAACAACUUGAAUAAACGAAAAAGUAGACUGCAAUCUGCUUGUAAAACAACUCUAGAAUGAGAGUAAAAGCCAUUAGAUCCACAAUUUUCAAACUAACUGAAACGUCAUUUUUCCCACCAGUAGUCAUCCGCAUGGGCGGACCGACGUGCAAUUUUCGGAUGCUCGAGCACCCACUAAACUCGACGUAGAAGAGGUAUAAUUAUAUAAGAAACAGUGAAAAAAUGGUAAAAUAUAUACAAAAGCACCUAGAGAACAAAAGCAUGGUUGGGUGCUCUGGCGUUAGACAUAACUUUCAUGUCUUCCAUGCUGGGAUCGAAUCCCUGUAGCUGCAUUGUUUAGUAAAUUUUUUUUUUUUAGCACCCACAACCUAAAAAAGCUGGGUCCGCCACUGGUCAUCCGCAGCUAUAAGAAAACUAAAGUUAACUAGAAUUGAUUGUCAAGAAGCUACAUUUCUCGAGACAGAGACAAUUGCAUAGCUGUUGCAGUUGAGGAAAUAUGUUUCUGACAAUUGACUUGCUUGAAGAAAUUAAAAGAUAAACUAAGCAGCAAACGGAGAGGUCAAACAUGUAAAAAGUUCAGCGUCAAUUGCUAUGUUCCAACCUGAAGUAAUAAUAUGUCUUCUAAUCCCAAAAUCAAAAAGAGGAAAAAGAAUAUCACACAACUGUGAAUUAACAUUUUGUAAAGUAUGAACACUGACUCCAUUCAGAAAAUGUGCAUCUUUCAGCAUUUUGAUCAGCAUGAGUAGGCUAUCAAUGACUGCAUUUUCAGCAAUAUUAUCUAUCCCAUCAGUUAGUUGAUCUACAUCUUCCUUCGCUUCGCUUGGGGGCUUCCAUCUUCAUCAUUAUUCUGGUCAUUACCGCCUUCAUCUUGAUCAUGAUUCUGUUCAUUAUCUCCAUCUAGAUCAGCAUUUUGCUCAUUAACGUCCACAUCUUGUUCAUUAGGGACCUGUUCAUUAAAUUCUCCAUCUUGAUCAGCAUUUGGCUCAUUAGCACCUAAAUCUUGUUCAGUAGGAAUCUGUUCGUUAGCAUUUCCAUCUCGAUCAGCAUUUUGCUCAUUACCGCCUAAGACUUGUUCAUCAGGAACCAGUUCAUAAGGGAGUCCUAGUUCCUCGUUUAAAUCACGCAACAAGGGUUCAUUAUCCCAGUAAGUAAGCUUGUGCCUUCCACAAAAUACUCAUUUGUAUAAACCCUUACUAGUCAUACGACAUAUGUGUGCAGUCUCAAUUAGCAAAUUUUGUAGUUAGAAACUUACAAUCUCAUGUAGAAUCUUCCUUGUCUAAUAUAGAUGGAUGGUGAGGGUUGGGGGACUGCAAUCUGGAGAAAUCAUUGAUUCAGUAUCUCAUAACAAGGAACAGCAAAAUGUCUUGUUCAUGAAAAUCAAAUGCUCUUUAAUAAUAGUAUCUUACAAAUUGCCACCCGAGCAGCAUCUCACAUUGGAAGCAGAAAAUAUCGACUAGGGUAUAUCCAUUUAUUACACGAUAAUCAUUUACAUCCUCUGAUACGUCAACAUUAAACCUGCAUAUAUACAAAGGUUUCUAAUACAUAUAUGCCUCAGACCGCAGAAAAAAGUUUAGGCAAAUAACAAAUCCCAAAUUGCUGAAAUCAAAUAAAUUACAGACUUACACUCUAUCAAAGAUCCUUCGUGGAAUGAGGUUUAGCACCUACAAAGUGUACAAGACAAGAAAAUGAGCAUAAUAAGUUGUUCUGUGCUUAGUCAAGAAAUAUAACAUAAAUGCUGAACUAAUCACAAUUCAUGAUACAAAUAGGCUGUUGAAAUUAAGCCAUUAAAUCUUGCAUAUGGUCUUUAUGAAACGAAUAGCAAAAAUCAAAAAGAUAGUACAACAUAGUUUUUCCUAAACGAAUAGCUACGGUAUGAGCAAUUCAGAAUAAAAUUAAUUCAAGAUUGUCCUGAAUUUCGAGGAUCAAAGAAAAUGUCUGUAGCCCACAGAACCAUUUCGCGUGUUCAGAAAUGAUGCAGAGAGAGUGAGAAUCCUUGCGAUCCGAAGGUAAUCCUGGCGGAAUGCAACUCGAGUUCCGCAGCUACGACAUUUGAUUUCAUUGCAUUGAUAUAAAGCUCGUCCACUCAUUGUAUGUAUCAACUUUGUUGAAUCAAGAACCAACUCCUAAUAGAUACGUUUCGCCUGUCACGCAAAGAACAAAGUUGAAGAGAGAUACGAAAGAGGAACUGCUGAAGAAGUCUAAGUUUAUCAAUGGAGAAAAUGACUUUAACUUCUCACCAGAUAACAAAUGCAACAAUGGAGAAAGAGUUGGUGAUCAAUGAGAAUUCAAGAAAAUGAAAAAUGGGUGGGAAUUAUAAGAGUAAAUUUAAUGAGUCUGAGAAUAUUGAUAUAGAAAAGUCACUCACUUCUUGAUUCUUGAAUCCAAGCUCUGUUAACUGAGAGGAGGGAAAUUUGAAAUUGCUUCACACGCACACAAUUGGAUAAAUUUUCCACCUUUAUUAGGAAUAAAAUACCAAAUGUGUUUCCCUUUCUUUUCUUUUCCCUUUUAUAUCUAAUAAAAUGUUGUUGUAUUGAGUGUUUACAUCAAAAUAAUAGAUGUUCAACGUACUAUUUAACUAUGAUUAAUUAAUGCAUAUUUUUAUUACUUAUUACAUGUAACUCACUUAAGAAAAUUACCUUAAGUUGAAAGACUAGGCCCCGUUUGGACAUGCGAUACGAAAUUAUUAUUUGAAAUCAUGUUAUGAAAUUGAAGAUUUUUUUGGACAUAUAAUUUGAAUUUCUUGAAGGGGAGCCUUGGUUAACUAGUAAAGUUGCUCCCAUAUAUUUAAGCCAUGAAAACAACCUCCUGCAGAAAUGCACGGUAAAACUGCAUACAGUAAAUUCUUGUGCACCAGACUUGCAUUAUAUUCAAUUUAGAUUUCUUAAGUUGCAUUUUCUCUUAUAAAAAUGAAAAUCUCACAAGUUGUAUAAACUAUAAAAAUUUCUAAUCCUUAAUCUUACCAAAUAAGCAAAUGAUUGUUCGUAAACAAGAUAUCGGACUAUCAAAAGGUAUCACAUUGUUAAAUCACAUAUCUCCAUUUUUUAAAGAGAAAAUAUAUAAUUACCCCCUGAUCUUGUUCGAGAUUUACAAAAAGACACCUAAACUUUCACUUCGACCUAUUACCCUACAAUUCUUCUUUAUUUCGUUGCAAACACACCAUUUUGACCCUCUGCGUGUAUACACGCGCCACAGGUGCGUGAAAGGGUUCGAAUUUGACUUUUUUGACCAAUUAAAAGCUGUCACGUGUAAAAUAAUUGAUAUAUAAUUUAUAUUCUUUUUUUUAAAAUUAAUAUUUAUUUAUUUUUAAAAAUUAUUUCAUAACCCCCACCCCCGCAACCCCCCAUCCACCAUUGUCUUCUUCCCCAACUUCUUUUUCAUCACCAUCACUCAACAACAUCAAUUACAACACACAACAACAACAUCAAUUAUGCCCACAACAACAACAUCAUCAUCAUCAUCAUCAUCACCAUAACCCCACCCUUUCUUCUUCAACAUAAUGUCAUCAUUAAAGCUCCUCCAUUGAAGUUUUUUUUUUUAAAUCAUAUCAUUAAAGCUCCAUUUUGCAAUUAAAACAUAUCAGUUAACUACCCACCAUUCUUAUUCAACACAAUAUCUUCUUCAACUCCAUUAAAGCUCUUUCAUUGAAGUUUUUUUUUUUAAAGUUCCAUUAAAGCUCAUUAAACUAUCUUUAAAAUUCAAUUCAAUCAUUUAACUAUCCUUAAAACUCAAUUCAAUCAUAAAACUAAUUUUUAAAUUGAUUUGAACAAAGAAAAAAAUUAGACGGGGAGAGUGCUGGACGCGAGGCGGCGAGGGGGAGGGGGAGGGGGAGGUGCUAGACGNNNNNNNNNNNNNNNNNNNNNNNNNNNNNNNNNNNNNNNNNNNNNNNNNNNNNNNNNNNNNNNNNNNNNNNNNNNNNNNNNNNNNNNNNNNNNNNNNNNNNNNNNNNNNNNNNNNNNNNNNNNNNNNNNNNNNNNNNNNNNNNNNNNNNNNNNNNNNNNNNNNNNNNNNNNNNNNNNNNNNNNNNNNNNNNNNNNNNNNNNNNNNNNNNNNNNNNNNNNNNNNNNNNNNNNNNNNNNNNNNNNNNNNNNNNNNNNNNNNNNNNNNNNNNNNNNNNNNNNNNNNNNNNNNNNNNNNNNNNNNNNNNNNNNNNNNNNNNNNNNNNNNNNNNNNNNNNNNNNNNNNNNNNNNNNNNNNNNNNNNNNNNNNNNNNNNNNNNNNNNNNNNNNNNNNNNNNNNNNNNNNNNNNNNNNNNNNNNNNNNNNNNNNNNNNNNNNNNNNNNNNNNNNNNNNNNNNNNNNNNNNNNNNNNNNNNNNNNNNNNNNNNNNNNNNNNNNNNNNNNNNNNNNNNNNNNNNNNNNNNNNNNNNNNNNNNNNNNNNNNNNNNNNNNNNNNNNNNNNNNNNNNNNNNNNNNNNNNNNNNNNNNNNNNNNNNNNNNNNNNNNNNNNNNNNNNNNNNNNNNNNNNNNNNNNNNNNNNNNNNNNNNNNNNNNNNNNNNNNNNNNNNNNNNNNNNNNNNNNNNNNNNNNNNNNNNNNNNNNNNNNNNNNNNNNNNNNNNNNNNNNNNNNNNNNNNNNNNNNNNNNNNNNNNNNNNNNNNNNNNNNNNNNNNNNNNNNNNNNNNNNNNNNNNNNNNNNNNNNNNNNNNNNNNNNNNNNNNNNNNNNNNNNNNNNNNNNNNNNNNNNNNNNNNNNNNNNNNNNNNNNNNNNNNNNNNNNNNNNNNNNNNNNNNNNNNNNNNNNNNNNNNNNNNNNNNNNNNNNNNNNNNNNNNNNNNNNNNNNNNNNNNNNNNNNNNNNNNNNNNNNNNNNNNNNNNNNNNNNNNNNNNNNNNNNNNNNNNNNNNNNNNNNNNNNNNNNNNNNNNNNNNNNNNNNNNNNNNNNNNNNNNNNNNNNNNNNNNNNNNNNNNNNNNNNNNNNNNNNNNNNNNNNNNNNNNNNNNNNNNNNNNNNNNNNNNNNNNNNNNNNNNNNNNNNNNNNNNNNNNNNNNNNNNNNNNNNNNNNNNNNNNNNNNNNNNNNNNNNNNNNNNNNNNNNNNNNNNNNNNNNNNNNNNNNNNNNNNNNNNNNNNNNNNAAAAAAAAUGAAAUUAAACGUAUUUAACAAGUGGCAACACCUGAUUGGUGCGUGUGUUCACUUUCUUUGUUGUGACUGAGAUUCAACUAAAAAUGGUGUAUUUGUAACGAAAUAAAGAAGAAUCAUGGGGUAAUAGGUCGAAGUAAAAGUUUAAGUGUCUUUUUGCAAAACUUAACCAACAUCGAGGGUAAUUAUGUAUUUACAUUUUUGUUAAUAUUAUUCUUUCACAUGGUACAAAUGAUAUCUUCAGGACGAUAAUGAGUCCCUUUAUCUUAUAUUAAAGUUAAAAUGUUUUCGAGUCCCUUUAUUUUUAUAUGAAAGUUAAAAUAUGUCUUUAUAUCGAGUGUUGAACGGCAAGCUAGAUCAAUUACUGUUAGAUAUAGCAAAGUAAAUUCACAUGAGAUUUGAGGAAGAGAGAUAAACAGGCAAACCAAUGUUAAAUUUACAAGUAUUCCAGUAAUGGUUGAUAGGCCACAACACAUCUCAUUCUAAAUAAACAUGGAGCUGAAAUUAUUACAAAGGUUUCGUGGUGUAGUUGGUUAUCACGUCAGUCUAACACACUGAAGGUCUCCGGGCGAAGCCAUUUUCGUGGGUAAUAGGUCGAAGUAAAAGUUUAAGUGUCUUUUUGCAAAACUUGACCAACAUCGGGGUAAUUAUGUAUUUACAUUUUUGUUAAUAUUAUUCUUUCACAUGGUACAAAUGAUAUCUUCAGGACGAUAAUGAAUCCCUUUAUCUUAUAUUAAAGUUAAAAUGUUUUCGAGUCCCUUUAUUUUUAUAUGAAAGUUGAUGACUAGGUUCUGUGGCUAGAAGUUGUGAUAAGCUUUGAUCCAUCUGAUAUAACUAGGCCAAAUACAAUCGAUGUUGGAGAGUUUUAUUUGGAAUUCAGACCCAAUUAGCUUUUGUUAAGAAGGACUAGAAGUUACAAAGAAUGGUUAUACAAAAUUAUGUCGAAGCUUUGGCUUUUUGCUGUCUCUCAUCUCCUUUCUAAGUUCUAGUAUCUCAUUCCCUUCUGAUUACUUUCUACUCUAUUAUUCUCUCCUUAGUUUGUGUUGUUAUUACUUUGUUUUAGGAUUCUAAGUUGUAACUUGUAUUCAGUGAUUAUGAUUUAUUCUGUUUUUGUGUUAAAAAAUUCGACUUGUUACAAAAAUCCAUUAGAUCCACGCACUGAAACAUCAUCUUUCCCCACAAUAGUCAUCCGCAGCUAUACGAAACAAACUAAAGUUCACUAGCAUUAUUGUAUAGCUGUUGCAGCUAAGGAAAUACACCUCUGACAGUUUGACUUGCUUAAAGAAAUUUAAAGAUAAACUAAGCAGCAUAUAGAGAACAAACAUUACAAAAAGCAGUGUGUCAAAUGCUUUAUUCCAACCUGAAGUAAUAAUAUGUACUGUAAUCCUAAAACUGAAAAGAGGAAAAAAAACAAUAUGAACUGUGACUUUAUUAGGAAACUGUCCAUCUUUCAGCAUUUUGAUCAGCGUGAGUAGGCUAUCAAUGUCUGCAUUUUCAUUCAAUAAUAUCUAUUCCACCAGCGAGUUGAUCUACAUCUUCCAUUGUUUCAUUGACGCACGUCCAUCUUCAUCGUGAUUCUGUUCAUUAGCAUAUAGAGAACAAACAUUACAAAAAGCAGUGUGUCAAAUGCUUUAUUCCAACCUGAAGUAAUAAUAUGUACUGUAAUCCUAAAACUGAAAAGAGGAAAAAAAACAAUAUAACUGUGACUUUAUUAGGAAACUGUCCAUCUUUCAGCAUUUUGAUCAGCGUGAGUAGGCUAUCAAUGUCUGCAUUUUCUUUCAAUAAUAUCUAUUCCACCAGCCAGUUGAUCUACAUCUUCCAUUGUUUCAUUGACGCACGUCCAUCUUCAUCGUGAUUCUGUUCAUUAACACCUCCAACUUGAUCAAUAGCGCCUCCAUCUUGCUGAUUAGGAGCCUGUUCAUUAGCUCCUCCAAAGAGAGAAUCAUGCAAUGUUACACCACUCAGGUACAUAAUCUGUUUCCUGCCACAAAAUACUCAUUUGAAUAAACACCUCACAAGUCAUAUCGCAUACGUGUACAGUCAAUAUGCAAAUUUGUAAUUAGAAGCUUACAAUCUCAUAAAGAACCUUCCUACUACAUAGUACUGGGAUGGUUGGGCUACUGCAAUCUGAAGAAAUCAUAAUUAAGAAAAAUAGAGCAACAAAAUCGUCUUGUUCAUGGAAAUCAAAUGCUCUUUAAUAUUAGUAUCUUACAAGUUCCCAGCCAAGCAGAAUACGACAAUUGAUACAGUAAACAUUGGCCAGGGUAUUUCCAUCUACUACACGAAGAUAAUUCACAUUAUUUGGUACAACAACAUGAAAUCUGCAUAUAACACAUAUACGCCUCAGACCUCGGAAAAAAAACUUAGGCAAAUAAAUAAAAUCACAAGAUGCUCAAAUACCUAAUUUUCGAAAUUGCAUGCGACUUACACUUUAUUAAAGUACCCUCCAUACACUAAGUCCUGCGCCUGGACAAUAAAACGAACAUAAUAAGUUGUUCUGUUCUUAGUCAAGAAAUGAAGGAAUUGAAUGUUACAUAUCCACUUUAUGAAAUAAGUAAUAGUUUCAUAAAAAAAUAUACACUAAAAAAAUAAUCCUUACAUUAGGAACGUAAUGCUCGAUGAAUGAAACACGAGUUUCGCAAAAACAGCAAAGGAUGCAACCACGCACAUUGAUUAGAUGAUUUCCAAUUAUAAAGGACAUUGUAUCAAAUGAAAGAACUAUUAUGAUUUUGGAGAGAGAUGCAAAUAAUAAAAUACACUCCUACUAGUACCAAACUCUUGCUAAAAAUAAGAAGCAGACUCCUUAACAAAACAACUAAUUACUCUACGAAAUUAUUUUUUGUUUUGUUUUGCCACUUAAGAAUAUUUUACUACAUUUUACCCUCCUAAACUAUUUUCUUUUUAAUUUGAGGCGCUAGUCAAAUUGACAUUUUAUUUUGCACCCUUGCGCCGACCGUACAGAGAAUAAAAUAAGCACCAGUUGUGUUUCCUUUUCUUUUUCUUUUUCUUUUCCUAUACUUCCUUAAUAAUGUUAUUGUUGGGUAAAUUUCGAUGGUUAAAAUUAGUAAAAACUUAUUUGUAUGGAGUGGUUACGUCAAAUAAUAGAUGUGCGACAUACUAUUUAACGGUGAUUAGUUAAUGCAUAUGUUUUAUUACAUUAAAUCAAACGAAAGCCUUGGAGCAACAGUAAAAUUAUGUCUGUAUACAUUACAUGUUCGAGUUGUGAAAGCAACUGCUAAUACUUGCAUCAUGAUAGACAGGGAUGGAGCUACCGAACCCCCUUCGACAAAAAAUUAUACUAUAUAUAUACAUGGUUAAAAUUAUUUUUUAUGUAUAUAUAUAUUAGAUGUUGAACCCCCUUCGAUAAGUUCAGAUGUUCAUUAUGAACCCUUAGUGAAUAUUCUGGCUCCGCCAAUAAUGAUAGACCGCCUACAUUACACCCACUCGGUACUUGCCCAAGUCUAUCCUUUUUACCAAAAUACGUUAGAAUUUUGUUGGUGUAAACACCAGACAGUAGUGAGGAAAAUAAAGCAUCAUCUUAGAUCUCCAGAUGCUAAAGGCAUUCCUAUAUUGUUAUAUAUACCAUAUAAUUUACGAAAUUGUAACUAAUAUUAAUAAGAAAUUUCAAAUUUUAAACAUUUUCGUUAAUUUAGUUAGAUUGUACACAUGAGUGGUAAAUAACGGUAAAAUUUCUCUCUUAUUAAAUUAACAAAUUAAAAUUUUCAGAGUUAAUAACUCAAGUAAUCACUCAACUAUAAACUUUUAUUCUAAAAAAAUCAUUCAACUUUGUUCUUUACCUUAAAUGUCACUCAGCUAUAAAUUUUUAUUUCAGAAAGUAACACAACUUUGAUCUUUACUUCAAAAGUCACUCCACUAUUAAAUUUUUACUGAGAAAGUCACUCAAUCCAUUUAAUUAUUUUAAAAAAAAUAAAAUUUGCUUAUGUAAAAUUUCUAUUUAAAAAAUAAAUUCUGAAAAAUAAAAAGUUUCCAUUUAAUGACCGUUUUAUUCUUAUUUCCUUAAAUUAAUAUCUCGUCGUCCUCUUUUUUCUUCUUCUCAUAAAUUUUUUCGUGACUCGAAUAUUUACAGUAUAAUUAAAUAGAAAUUUCAUAAAAGCAAAUUUUAUUUUGUAAAAAAUAAUUAAAUAAUUUGAAUGACUUUCUAAUUAAAAAUAUAAUUGUUGAGUGACAUUUAAAAUGGAGAUGAAAAUUGAGUGACUUGAAUGUAUAGACAACUUUGCACCUCGUAUCGGUAGAUUCGAGAAGGCCCCAAGAGGAAUUCUUCUUCACAAUUUCUGGGUUUUAGAAUAAUCAAUGGACCCCUAAAAUAUUCGAUUGAAGGAGUGUAUCGAUCAAGCACUCAUGAAACGUUUUCGUUUUCUGAGAAAAUUAUCAAAUUCCAAUGAAAAACCCUUCAUUGCUGUAUUAGCUUUGGCUGCUGCUGGAUUUUUUUCUAGCAAUGAAACCACCAGUUCAAGAACAUCAAUUUUGGUUUCGUUACCCGAUCCCGAUCCCUUAAAAGACAGACUCGUUCGUUCUGCGGCCGACCAAUCUCAAGUGUAUAUUUUCCCAUCGUGUUUUGCUAGAAGAAUUGGUUUGGACUCACCUGGGAAUGUGAAGAAAGAAGGUUCUGGGGAAGAUGACGACGAUGGUGAGAAGAAACAUAAAUGUUGUAAUUGUUUCGGACGAGAUACUAUUGCCAAUGCAGCUGCCACUGUUGGUCCUGCUGUUGUUAAUAUCUCAGUAUCAAGGAGCUUUCACGGAUUGAGCGCUGGAAGGAGUAUAGGAUCAGGAACUAUAAAAGAUGCUGAUGGCACUAUUUUGACUUGUGCCCAUGUGGUUGAUUUUCAAGGCUUGAGGAUUUCGUCAAAAGGAAAGGUUAUGUGACUUUGCAAGAUGGCCGUGUAUUUGAGGGUACCGUGGUCAAUGCGGAUUUGCAUUCUGAUAUUGCAAUUGUUAAGAUCAAAUCUACAACUCCACUUCCAACUGCAAAACUUGGCACUUCAAACAAGCGGCUUCGCCCUGGGGAUUGGGUGGUGGCUAUGGGUUGCCCCCUUUCUCUCCAAAAUACAAUUACAGCAGGCAUUGUGAGCUGCGUCGAUCGUAAAAGUAGUGAUCUUGGACUUGGAGGCAUGCGGCGAGAGUAUCUGCAGACUGAUUGUGCUAUUAAUGCUUGAAAUUCUGGAGGACCUCUAGUAAAUGUCGAUGGAGAAGUAGUCGGAGUUAAUAUCAUGAAAGUACUGGCAGCUGAUGGUUUGGGCUUUGCCGUACCAAUUGAUUCGGUUACCAAGAUUAUAGACCACUUCAAGAAUAGGGGGAGAGUUAUUCGACCUUGGUUGGGUUUGAAAAUGCUCGAUCUAAAUGAUAUGGUUGUUGCACAGCUUCAGGAAAGAGAUCCAUCUUUCCCAAAAGUCAACAAGGGAGUUCUUGUAUCAAUGGUGACUCCAGGGUCCCCCUGCUGAUCGUGCUGGAUUUCACCCUAGUGACGUGGUUGUUGAAUUUGAUGGAAAUCCUGUUGGGACAAUAAAGGAGAUAAUUGAUAUAAUGGGUGACAACAUUGGGAAACAAUUGAAUGCAGUGGUGAAAAGAGUCAAUGAUGUUACUGCUACGUUGAGGGUAAUUCCAGAAGAAGCUAAUCCUGAUAUGUGAAAUGCAAUGUUUUGUCCUCACAGAAGGAUUAUAUAUUUUUCUGAUUUCAAUCUCAAAAAUCAGAAGCUGAUCAGGUACUGCGUAUUGUGAUUGUCCUAUAUGAACCUAUUACAAACUGAUAAGCAUUUUGUAAAGUAAUAACUACACUGGCUCUAUUUAGAAAGUGUAUCUUUCUGCAUUUUGAUCAGCAUGAAUAGGCUAUCAAUGUCUGCAUUUUCAUCAUUAGUUGGUUCAUAUUAUCUAUUCCAUCAGCCAGUUGAUCUUCAUCUUCAUUCAGUUCAUUGGGGUGCCUGCAUCUUGAUCAUCAUUCUGUUCAUUAGUGUCUUCAUCUUGAUUAGCAUUUUGCUCAGCAGCUCCUAAAUCUUGUUCAUUAGAAACCUGUUCAUUAGCAUCUCCAUAUUGAUCAGCAUUUUGCUCAGUAGCACCCACAUCUUGUUCAUUAGGAACCUGUUCAUCAGUGUCUCCAUCUGGAUCAACACUUUUCUCAUUAGCACCUACAUCUUGCUCAUUAGGACACCGUUCAUUCGCAUUUCCAUCUUGAUCAGCAUUUUACACAGUAGAGCCCACAUCUUAUUCAUUAGGAAUCUCUUCAUUAGUGUUUCCAUCUUGAUCAGAAUUUUUUUCGGUAGCUCCCAUAUCCUGUUCAUUAGUGUUACCAUCCGGAUCAGUAUUUUGCUCAUUAGCACCUACAUCUUGAUCAUUAGGACCGUGUUCAUUAGCGUAUCCAUCUUGAACAGCAUUUUGCUCAGUAGCGCCUAAAUUUUGUUCAUUGGGAACCUGUUCGUUAAUGUCUCCAUCUUGAUCAGCAUUUUGCUCAUUAGCGCCACCAUCUUGAUCAAUAUUGUCUGCAUUCAGAGUAGAGGCUAUCAUUGUCUGCAUUUUCAUCAAUAUUAUCUAUUCUAUCGGCCAGUUGAUCUACAUCUUCUUUCAGUUCAUUGGCGCGCCUCCAUCUUCAUAGAUCAUUUCUAUUCAUUAGCGUCUCCAUUUUGAUCAUCAUCCCAUUCAUUAACACCUCCAUCUUGAUCAGCAUUUUUGCUCAAUAGCGCUUCCAUUUUGAUCAUGAUCCCGUUCAUCUUCACCUCCAUCGUGAUCAUCAGGAGCCUGUCCAUUAGCUCCUCCAAAGAGAAAAUUAAGCAACGUUACAUCAUUCCAGUAAAUAAGCUUGUCCCUGCAGCAAAAUAUUUAUUUGGAUUAACACCUUACAAGUCAUGUGCACAUGUGUUUGUAAUUUUCCGUGUAAAAGUCUACUACCUUUUACUAGGGAUAGAUUUUCCAUUUUUCUUUUCCCCUAAGAAUAUUUUAAAUCACUUUACUUCUACUAAUUUUUAUAAAAAGUUACAUUUGUAAUUUACGGUGAAAAUUGGCUAGAAAGUUCUAGUCAGAUUUUUAUUUGAAACUUAACAAGCUGGAGAAGCCUAUAACUAAUUUUCUUACCUUUUACUCACACCUAUGACAAGUAAAAAGAAAAAACUGGAGAACCCUCUAACACCAAGUUUUCAUAGUGAUAACUCGUGAGAUUAAUUUUAGAAUGAGCUUAUCCCAUGUUUGGUUGGGAUAAAAUGUAUGGGAUAACUCAUCCCGGGAUUGUAGUGCUACUUUUAUCCCACCUUGAGGGUGGAAUAACUAAUCCCGGGAUAACUUGUUAUCUCGACCAAACAACCCUUGAAGUUCUCCGGUUCGAAUCCGGGUGAAGCCAUUCUGAACUAUGUUUUGGAGUUUUCCUUACGUGCCAAAUUGGAGUGCAACUUACUUAAGAAACCAGGAGCCUCUUGUUGAGACUUGCUGUGGUGAAAGGAAAACUCAAUCAGUACCCUCAGGACUACGUUAGGCGUUUAGGCAUUUUAGGCAGCGAUAUACUUUAGUACCCUCAAUCAGUAAUUGCUGUACAUACAGCAACACUACACGAGGCAACAACAAGCAUAUAAUCAUCCCAUUUGAGUUCAUUCUGACUAGCUUCUCCACUUCUGCAGUUUGAAAAAUGUCUGCAUUUACAAACAAAAUAGCGCCUUCUUUAUAUGGAUAAGUUAUCAAGGCCCCAAGGUGUCGCGGUACAGCUGGCUAUCACGUCAGUCUAACACAUAGAAAGCGACACUAUAUACUCUUUUACUAAUUAUUCUUUUGAUUUUUCCUAAUCGUUCUUCUCAAUAGAUGAAGUUUGAGGAUCAUUUCUAAGCCGAACAAGACAGAAGAAAUGGCUAAGAAACAGCAGUUGUACAAAUCUACAUUGCGAUAUCCUCUUGACAAAAGGAAUACAAACGUUUACAUCUGUUCAAGUUCACAGAUUUCAGAAGGUUACUUUUUAGCAAUAUAUUAAACAAUUGAACAGUAGAAAACAGAAACUCAAAUUUGUAUAAAAUAAGCAUUGAGCACUGACGAUUUAGUUGGAAUAUACUGGGUAGUCAAUACUAAAACAGCUUCCUGAAAGCCCCAUGAAUAAACACUCCUGUGUGGCUUUGAAAAUUUCAGUAAAUUACACUCUUACCAAACAGAUUUGGAGAUGUCAAAUGACGAUAUAGUUUUAAACAGACGCAGAAAGCAACAUGAAUAAACAAAAGUAGACUCUGCUAUCUGCUCAUAAAAGAAACAUCAUCAUUCCCCACAGUAGUCACUGCAUUUUUAAAGAAAACAAAACUAAAACUUAUAGCAGUUGCAGUGGACUUGCUUCAAAAUAUUAAAAGAUAAACCAAGCAGCAGACAGAGAACGGUGGUUCAGUGUAUGCAUGUAAAAGGUUCAGUGUCAAUUGCUAGGUUCCAACCUGAAGUAAUAAUACGUAUCCAAUCCCCAAAUCAAAAAGAGGAAAAAGAAUAUCACACAGUUAUGAAUUAGCAUUUUGUAAAGUAUGAACUAUGACUCCAUUCAGAAAAUGUGCAUCUUUCAGCAUUUUGAUCAGCAUGAAUAGGCUAUCAAUGACUGCAUUUUCAUCAAUAUUAUCUAUUCCAUCAGCAAGUUGAUCUACAUCGAUGUCCUCCUUCGCUUCCUUUGCGCGCCUCCAACUUCAUCUUGAUUAGCAUUUUGCUCAUUAGCGACCACAUCUUGUUCAUUAGGAACCUGUUCAUUAGCGUCUUCAUCUUGUUCAGCAUUUUGCUCAUUUGCACCUAAAUCUUGUUCCAUAGGAACCUGUUCAUUAGCGUCUUCAUCUUGAUCAGCAUUUUGCUCAUUAGCGCCUAAAUCUUGUUCCAUAGGAAUCUGUUCAUUAGCAUCUCCAUCUUGAUCAGCAUUUUGCUCAUUGGCGCCACCAUCUUGACCAGCAGGAGCCUGUUCAGUAGCGCCUCCAAUUCCAAGCAGAGAAUUAAACAAUGUUACACCUUUCCAGUCAAUAAGCUCGUUCCUGCCACAAAAUAUUCGAUUGAAUUAACACCUUACAAGACAUAUCGCAUAUGUGUGCAGACCCAAUUUGCAAGUUCUUAAUCAGAAACUUACAAAUCCAUGCUGAAAUGUCCUACUUUAAUAUUCUCUGUUGGUUCGGGGACUGCAAUCUGAGAAAUCAUACAUUCUUUAAUUUAAGAGAAAAAAAAAGAGCAACAAAAUCGUCUUGUUAUCAUGAAUAUCAAAUGAUCUUUAAUGUUAGUAUCUUACAAAUUUCGACCCGAUCAGCAUUUUACAUCCUGAACAGCGAACAUGGGCUAGGGUAUUCCGACCUAUUACUUUGCGAUUUCGCGCAUCCUCUGAAACGUCAACAUCAAUCCUGCAUAUAUGCCCCAGGAAAAAGCUUAGACAAAUAAUAAACAGCGCAAGAUUCUGAAAUUUCAUGAGAUUAUGAGACUUACAUUCUAGUAAAGAUCCCUGCAUCAGCUAAGUCUCUUUUCUGCAAAUUAAAGUGGACAAGACCAUAAAAAAUGAGCAUAAUAAGUUGUGAUGUAGUUAGUCAAGAAAUAUAAUAAUCAUACAUCAUAUCCUCUCUAUGAAAUCAGUAGCAAUUUGGUUAUCAAAGAAAAUAUCUGUAGCCCACAGAGACAUUUGGUGCGCUUACAAACAAAUUGAUACUAUAACAAAUUGCAAGAAAUGAUACAGAAAGAGUGAGAAUCCUUACGUUUAGAAAGUAAUACUUGACGAAUGAAACCGUAGCGUUGCAGCCACGACAAUGGAUGCGAUCUUCAGAAGGGAUUACCAUUGUAUCAACUUUGUGGAAUCAAGAAGCAACUAACUCCUAAUAGAUAUGUUUCACCUGUUACACAACAAAGUGGACGAGAAAUUUUAAAGAUGCAAGACUUUACUGUAUCGAGUUUAUCAAUGGAAAAAGAAGAGAGAGAGAGAGACCAACUUCGAAACAAGAAUAGAGCUCUGAAUUUACUGAGAGAAUUGAAGAAAGUAAAAACAAAUAAUGGGUGGGAAUGUUUCAAGUUAAUGGGACUGAGAAGAGAAUGUUUAUAUAGAAAAUUAAGUCAAUUCUUGAUUCUUGAAUUCAGAGGAGGGAUAUUGUAUCAACUUUGUGAAUCAAGGACCUGUUACGUUGCACAGUAAAUUUUCUUCAACAAAGUGGAAGAGAAAUAUCAAAAUUGAGAAUUCAAGAAAGUGCAAAAUGGAAAUGAGAAGAGAAUGUUAAUAUAUAGAAAAGUUGGUUCUUGAUUCUUGAAUCCAAGUUAUGUAUUUACCGUUGAAUUAAUUCAUAUAGGAGGGAAAUCUUGAAAUUAUUACAUUAAGAAGAUUGUUCAAUUUACCCUCCAAAUUAUAUAGUUUUAAAUUUCUGACAUUAGUGUAUUGACAUUUUACUUUUAAUCACAUAUACUGCAACCGACUUAAAAUUGUAUAGAGAACCGUUGCGUUUCCUUUUCCUUGCGAGUUACGAGAAAUAUAGUUGGAAAUAAUUUUAUUUCUAUUUCACUUUGGGAUAAUACCCACGAAAAUAUUUGAACUUUGAUCGAAUUUUCAGUUGAGCAUACUAAACUUUGCGGGGGUCCUAUNNNNNNNNNNNNNNNNNNNNNNNNNNNNNNNNNNNNNNNNNNNNNNNNNNNNNNNNNNNNNNNNNNNGAAUAUAUAUAUAUAUAUAUAUAUAUAUAUUUAUUUUGUGUCUUUAAAUUGUAAUAUUUAUUCAUUAAUUGCUAAUAAAAUGAUCCAAAAUUCAAUAUAAACUUAAAACCUAAAUUUUUCACUUUUCAUCUUAUAUUUUAGUUUCAAGAGAGUUUUUCGCUCCUCAAUUUUUCAUAAUUGUGAUUUUUUAUUAGCGCAUGGAUGAAAACAUACUUGAUCUAAACUUCAAUCACAAUAUAAUUGUCAAAAAUAAAUAUUAUAAAAAAAAUCUGAGAAAAACAGAAAAAAUCGAAAAAACCAAAAGAACCGACUAAAACCUAAACCGAAAAAAUCGAUUUUAUGUUGGUUUGAUUUGAUUUAUAGUUUUAAUAAACCGACAUAAUUGAUUUGUUUUUUUUCAAUAGAAAACCAAACCAAACCGACCUAUGUACACCCCUAUAUCCAACAAUGGUAUUGUUCUUCUCCAAAAUUAGCAGUAGCAGCAGACCAAAACAAUGGUGUUGUUCUUCUCCAAAACAACAUCAUUACAACCCAAACAUUGACAUCCAACAUCCCAAAACAACCAAAAACUCAGAAAGUUUCAAUCUUUACACUCCCCAAGUUCAAUUUAAUAGAAAAAAUAGCAAAAAUUUGCUUCAGAGAAUUCGAAUCACCAAUCUUGAAAGAAACUUUAAAAUGCAUCAUUUAAAAAAAAGAAUAAAAAAUUCAUAAUUUGAGAAAAUCAUCUUCACAGAUUUCUUGAGAAUUCGAAAUUUCAAUUACUAUCAAGAUUGAAGAAGACCCAUUUGGUGUGUGUAUUGAAAUUGAGUCAAAUUGAUGUAAUUGAAUUGGAUGUGUUAAAGAUAACUAAUUUGAUGCGUGUGUAUGUGAUGAAAUUGUGUUCAAUUCAAUUUGAAAUUGUGUUCAAUUCAAUUCCAAGUCAACCAUGGAACACCCAUGAAACACCAUUGAAGAGAAGAAAGACAUAAAAGAGAAGAAAAAACAGAGCAGAUAUAUAUGAAAAAUAAAUAAAAAAUCAUUUAAUUUAUAAAAAUUAGAAAAUUGAGGGUUGUUUUGACAAAACAGAAAGGUUUUUAAACGAUUUUUAACACUUUCAUACGUCCAAUGCGCGUGAAUUACACGCAAUGAUCCAAGGGGUCUGAUAUAUGUCAUUAAAAUAUAGAAAAAAAGUCUAGGGGGUAAUACAACCCAAGCAAAGUUCAGUAUGCUCAACUGAAAAUCCAGUAAAAGUUUAGGAGUUUUUGUGGGUAUUAUCCCUUUCACUUAAGAAAAAGAGCAAGUGUAUCUUAACAAAUGUUAUUGUUGUGUGAAUUUCGAUCUCAAAAACUUGGAAAGUUCGCUCAAUGAAAGAUUAAGUUUAUGGGUGGAAUUAGAGGGGAUAAAAUUAGUAGAGCCGUCAAUAUGGGGCCAAGGACCAAUGGGUCAGCCAGGCCCGACUUGUAAUUUGAUUGGGUGGGUUUCAAUUUUUGUAGCCCAUUUAAGAACAUAGCUUUUUAGCCUGGCCCGGAUAAGCCCAUGGCCCGUAGGGCUUGAGGAAUGUGGGUUGGGCUAGUCCGUAGGCCGGCCCGUCAGUCAAAUAAUAAAUAAUUUAUAAAUAAAAUAAAAUACUGAAAAAUAAUAAAAGAGUUAAAAAACAUUCAAAUUCAAUGAUGACCAUUGACCAAUUCCAUUAACAAAGAAAAUGGAAACUGGAUAAUUUCCUACUUUCCUAUCUAAUACAUAAUAAAAUAAUUACAUAUCUACCACUAAAACAUAAAGAGUACAUUGUACUCUUCACUUUCCUAAUUUUCUUAGUUCAGCUAGCCGCCGCCUCUUCACUGUAUCUCCCUCAACGCGUCAUCGGCUUUCAACCGUGAUGGUUCUGAUUGAGUAGUGUCACCUCUUCGUUUUCUUCCUACUUUGGGUGAUUCGAGCUCUGGCUCCCUUUUGAUUAACAAACAUUAAUAUUAUGUGUUAUUGUGUGAUAAAUAUUUAUGUUUAUUAACAGUGUAAAAUUAAAUUAUAAAAUAUUAUUUUUUAAGAAGUGGGCUGGCCCGUGAGGCCCGUAGCCCACAGGGUAAUAACGUGGGCUUGGUGUUUUUUGACCCGUCAUUUAAAUGGGCCAGCCCGACCUGACCCAUCAAACUCAAAGCCCGUAUAGGCUGGACCAACCCGUAUUGACAGCUCUAAAAAUUAGCCAAGAAAUAUAACACUCUCACUUCAUUCGAAAUGACCUGCUUCGUACUCCCUCCCUCCGUUCAUUUUUACUUAUCAUAUUUUUAAUUGACACAUUUAUUAAGAAAAAUAAUUAAUAGUAUAGUUAUUUUCUCAUAGUAUUUUUAUUAAAUGAUGUUUACAUUGUGUCUUGAAAAUAAUUUGAAGAAAAAACAAUUAAUACUAAAAGUAAAAUAGAAAAAAAGAAAUUAUUUUUUCUUAUUGACAAUCAAAAGGGAGCGGAGGGAGUAUUAGGUCGACGCAAUUAAAAAUUGGGCCGAUAUGUAGCGCCUUAUGAUGAAUCUUGUCAAAACAUUUUCAAAUAGUAAUAUUUUUUAAUUUAAUAUGUUAUAUACCGUCAUGAUUAAAACAAAUAAUUUUAUAAUGUACUAAAAAUUAUAAAAUAAAAAAAUAAAGCAAUUAAAAUACAAUAUGAAUUGAGCCUGAAUUUUCAUCAUUAAUUGAUGUGUUUGUAUUUAGAGCAAUAUUGCAUCAGCCAGUUGAUGUGCAUCUUCAUUUAGUUCAUUUUGCGCCUCCAUCAUUAAAUUCUUCAUCAAACAUUGAGUCAUUAUUUCAAUAAACAAGCUUGUUCAUGCCACAAGACCAAAAAAAAAAUUCAUGUUAGUACUUUAUAAAUCAUAAUAUCAUAUAGCAUAUGAGUAUGGAGGGGCUGCAAUCUGAACAACUGAAAAGAAAAAAAAAAAACAAUUAAAGCGAAGCUGCAGCAAAUGCUCUUGUUCAUCCUUAGCAACAUUCCACAUUUGAUGCAGUAAGUAUCAGCUAUGGUUUUGUCAUUUACUUGCUUAUGGUGUUUCUGCAUUAACGUAUAAUUUCUAUGCCAACUUGUAAGAAGUCAGGGUGGUAGUAGUACUUCCUUCAUUCUUGUCAAUUAGUACUGGUUCAUUUCCUAGGAUUGGUAAAGUAACGUCUAGCCCUCUUGCUUGUACUUAUCCUUUUUGACGAUAUUUUUGACAAUAGCAACUUGCUAACAGGACUACUUCUCUAAGAAUUAUUUAGUGAAAGUUUAGUCUGGAGCAAGAACAGGAUUUGUUUUAGCUCUUAAGCCUUUAGGCAGCUGUAAACUUCAGUAAAUUAUAGAGCAGUACACAGAACUCCAAACGCUGUAAAUAUGUUUCAUGUAGCCGAUUUUUAGAUGUCAAACUAAAUGAUACACGGAUAGCCUUUUUCUAAGGCCACCCUCCAGUACUAACGUUAGCCACGAGGCAGCAUAGAGAGAAGCCUUUCAGAAUCUCCGAAAUUAUUUGUGCAUCGCCAUAUUACAAGAUAACAAUAUAGUGGAUUGUGCUGUCUGCUCAUAAAUUAACUCGAGGGUGAUAACAAAAGCCAUCAGAUAUACAAUUUUCAAAUAUAUGUGUUAGAGAUUCAACUUUACCACACACUGGAACAUCAUUUUUCCCACAUUUUUAAGGAAAGAAAAAAGUUCACUAGCAUUUACUGUCAAGCAACAUCCAAGGAAGUAUAGUCAAAUGCUUAGAUAGUUGACUUGCUUUAGGAAAUUAAAAGAUAAACUAAGCAGCAAACAGAGAAAGGUAGUACCCGAGCUCAAAUAUGUGACAAGUUCAGUGUCAAUUGCUUUGUUCCAACUUGAAGUAAUAACAUGUACUGUAAUCCUAGAAUCAAAAGAGAAAAAUGAAUAUCACACAAUUAUGAAUUAGCAUUUUGUGAAGUAUGAACUCUAUUCAGAAACUGUGCAUCUUUCUGCAUUUUGAACAGCAUAAGUAGGCUAUCAUUGUCUACAUUUUUAUCAAUAUUAUCAAUUCCACCAGCCAGUUGAUCUACAUCUUCCUUCGUUUCGCUGGCACGCUUCCAUCUUGAUCAUGAUUCCGUUCAUUAGCAUCUGCAUCUUGGUCAGCAUUUUGCUCAUUAGCGCCUCCAUCUUGUUCAUUAGGAUCCUGUUCAUUAAUGCCUCCAACUUGAUCAUUAGGACCUCCAUCUUGUUCAUCAAGAACCUGUUCAUUAAGGCCCCCAUCUUGAUCGUUAGCGCCUCCAUCUUGUUCAUUAGGAACCUGUUCAUUAACACCCCCAUCUUGAUCACUAGCACCUCCAUCUUGAUCAGCAUCAGCGCCUACAACUUGAUCAGCAUUUUGCUCAUUAGGAUCCAGUUCGUUUGCACCUCCAACUUGAUCAUUAGCGCCCCCAUCUUGGACAGCGUUAUCAGGUACAACUUGAUCAGCAUUUUGCUCAUUAGGAGCCUGUGCAUUUGCACCUCCACUUUGAUUAUUAGCUCCUCCACCAUGCUCAGCAUUAGCAGGUACAACUUGAUCAGCAUUUUGCUCAUUAGGAGCCUGUGCAUUUGCACCUCCAUCAUGGUCAGCAUUCUCAGGCACAACUUGAUCAGCAUUUUGCUCAUUAGGAGCCUGUGCAUUUGCACCUCCAAAUUGAUUAUUAGCGCCUCCAUCGUCAGCAUUAGCAGGUACAACUUGAUCAGCAUCGUGCUCAUUAAGAGCCUGUGCAUUCGCACCUCCAACUUGAUUAUUAGCGCCUCCGUCUUGGUCAGCAUUAGCACCUCCAACUGGAUUAUUAGGAGCCUGUACGUUAGCACCUCCAACUUGAUUAUGAGGUGCCUGGGCAAUAAUGUCUCCAAAGAGAUAGUCACUCAACAUCACACGAUUCUGGAACAUAAGCCGGUCCCUGCCACAAAAUGCUCAUCUUAAUAACACCUUAGAAGUCAUACCGGGUGGGUAUAUGUAGUGUCUCAUUUUUUCAAGUUUAUAAUGAGAAACUUACAUUCUCACAGAGAAUCUUCCUAUCAAAUUCUGAGAUGGUUGGGUGUCUACAGUUUGAAGAAAUCACAAAUUCUGUACUUUAAGAAAAAAAGAACAAUAAAAUCGUCUUGUUCAUGAAAAUCAAAUGCUCUUUUCCACCCAAGCCAUUCGUUACACUGCAUACAGCAAGUAACUAAUCUGACUGAUUGGGUAUUUCCAUGUAGUUGAUCAAUCAUUGGUAGUAUUUUAACAUUUCUCCUGCAUAUAAUACACAGACCUCAGAAAAAGAUCUUAGGCAAAUAAUAAAAUCACAAGAUGCUGAAAUCACCCAAUUUUCGAAAUUGCAUGAGACUUACAUUCUAUUAAAGUGCCCUCCCCACACAAAGUCAUCCCGCUGGACAAGAAAACGAACAUAAUGAGUAGUUCUGUGCUUAAUCAAGAAAUAUAACAGAACACGAGUACAAAUAUCUGGGGAUUGAAUCCUCUUUAUGAAAUGAGUAGCGAUUUCAUCAAAAUAUACUUAUGAUUGCAUAGAAUUCAGUUCCUAAAUUGGGGUAUCAAAGAAAACAGUUUAGUGUGUUCAGAAGAAAUGAUGCAGAGAGAUGGAGUGAGAAUCCUUACAUCAGGAAUGAAAUCCUCGACAAAUGCAACUGGAUUAUUGCAAGAACUGCAAUAGAUGUAAUCACGACGAUCGAUACCUUGUGGAUCAACUGGAAAGUUUUCUUCCGUUCUAAUAUAUAUGUUCAACCUGUUAUAGAACAAAUUUUCUUCAACAAAGAACAAGGCGGAAUAGAAAUACCAAAAGAAUCAAUGGAGAAAAAAAAAAUAACUAACUUCGAAUCAGUUUAUGAAUAUAACUUGGAGCGGAGCUGGUAGAAAAAUGCACAACAGUAAGAAGAGAAUGUUAAUAUAGAAAAGCCACUUCUUGAUUCUUUAAUCCAAGCUCUGUAUUGACGGUUACUUCAAAAAGGAGGGAAAUUCAACUAUAUUUUAUUUUAUAUUUUUUCCCUUGACAAGAUUUUACGCUUUACCCUCCACAAUUCUGAAAUUAGUCAGAGUGAAAUUUACAUUUAAAAGAUUUUACAUGUAAAUCAAGUCUCAAUAGUUGAAACAAAAGUAACUUUUUUGCGAGGCAUAAAUUUAUAAAUUUGCAUCAUAAAAUUUCACAUGUUAUGUCUAGUGUCCUUAAAAGAACUUAUGUCCCACUAGGCAUAAGUUUGAUUGCUAAGGACAAAAAUUAAAUAUCAACCAUUUUGAAAGGCAAAGUUGCAAUUACAUAUUUUAGUGAAAAAACUUUCAUAGGAGAAUUAUUUAAAAUUAUAAUUUUAAAAUAUUUAUUGCUACACAAAGACUAUAACACAUUAAAAAAUAAUUUCAUUAAUGAUGCUUUUCGCUGUUAUUAUUAUUUUAUAUAGUUAUUUAUCAAGGUAGAAUGAGAAAAAGUAGUAAAUCUUUUUUAAUUUGCUAAAUAGACAAGUUAAAUGAAACAUCUAUUUUUGGUUUGGAGCCAAGUAAGACGGUAUUUCGUAAUAACGAACUAUGAAAGUUUCAAAUAGCCCAUAAUUUUCUUUUUUCGUAAAAGUUUAAAGGCAGAACCAUCAUUAGACACCUAACGUUAGCACGACUUUUCACUUAAGACACUUCAAGUAAACCUUGUACUUUUACUUAUAGAGUCCUACACAGAACUCAUAUAGCAGAUUUGUAGAUGUCAAACUAAAUGAUCGUAAAUCAACUCCAGGGUGAUCGUAAAAGCCAUCAGAUACACACUUUUCAAAUAUGUGUUGGAAUUUAACUUCACCACUGUGGGCGAUGCAAUUUUGAAUAUUUAAAUCCGUAUAAAAUUUGGAUUAUAUUAAAUUUAAAAUAUAUUAGUCCCAAAUAAAUAUUUUGGAUUAAUAUAAUUGGAUUAAUUAUUUAAGUCCAAACAUAUAUGGAUUUAAUUAAAGUCCAUUUUUUUAUUGGGCUAGCCCAUUGAUUUGGGCUACAAAUGAUGAGUCUACUUUGCUAAGCCCAAUAUAUUGUCAUAUUCUAUAGGCCCAAAUAAAUGUCACGUGUCAAAUGACGUGGCAUGCCAAGUCAAGUGAAGGAGCCAAUAGGACCAUUCCACAUGUCAAAAUAAUGCAGCAACCCAAUAAAAUCAAAGCCCAUAAAGGCGCCACAUCACUUGAAUUUGAUUGGUCAAAGAAAGUCCAUCUUCAUCAUCACUCUUCCUUUUCUACAACUAUAAAUAGGGGUCUCAUAAUUCAGAAAGAGGGACCCCAGAACUCUAACAAGUAGCGAGAGAAAGCUCGUGGAUCAAACGCCACAAUUUCUCUAAAAAGCUCAAGCAUUCAAAUCAAGUUCAUUAAGAUUCAAGAUUAAGACCGCAAUAUUCAAGAACAAGCUCAAAAACCCUUGAAUUCAAGCACAAGUCAAGAUCAAGCCCCUCAAAGCAUUCAAAUCAAGUUCAAAUUCAAGAUCAAGCUUUAAACUCUUGAAUUUAUAUUAGAAAAAGCGAAUCAGAGGAUUCAUAGAGAUUGUAAUAUCACAUAUUAAAAUUAAUAAAUUGAUUUUUACAAUAUAUUUUUCUUGUUUCGAAGUAUUGUUUUUCGAUCUCAAAAACUUUAUUGUCCAACAAAUUCUAGCACACCCAGUGGGACUAUCUCUACCUCUCAUCUCAAAUUUUUCAACUGCAAAGUUAAACAACAUUGAAAUGACUUCCAAGAAGGUUAAAUCUCAAUCAACUGUUUCCAAGGCUGCUGAUUCAAAGUUCUCUGCUGAAGUAGAAAGAAUCUUUGGCGUUACUUUCGAAAGCUUAGGAGUUGUGUAACGCCCCGCAUUUUGGGCUAGAAUAAAAACCAUGAUUUCGAUGCGUUGCUAAUUUUGAAGCCAUAAAAUCCUGUGCCAAUACGGCAUGUUAAUUAUUGUGUAGCAUGUGAAUCCGCUCAAGCUUGAAUUUAGACCAUAGAGGUCCUUCAACUCAAGGACGAGUUGAAACUAUUUCGAUCGACUAAGUUUUAGUAGACGUUGUAAAGUGUGUCAGCUUCCAUCGACCAUAACUCUCUAUGUAUGUUGAAUUAGGAAGCCUACUAUCUGUCAAUGAUAGGUAUUCGAGUUAGCUUUCCAACGAUACUAAUUUGGCUAAAAUUCAACACCCGAGCAAGAAGUUAUGGCCCUUCAAAGUGAUAAGCGAUGCCUAACCAAUCGCCCAUGGCCACUGAAAAGCAUAGGCGAUAGCCUAGGCGGCGCCUAUGUGAAGAUAGGCGAUGGGAUGGGCGGCGCCUAUGUAAGGAAUUCUGGUGAAUUAAACACUCCGUGUUAAGGACAAAGUGGUCCUUUUCCACCCUUACUUAGCCCUAAAAAACUAGAUUUAGUUCCAAAGACCACAAAAUACUUAUUCUUUCAUCAAAAGUGCUCAAGAUUCUCCUUAGGGUUUCAACAUAAAAACCCAAAUAGUUCAAGAUUUGACCGUAGGUUUUCAAAGAUAAUUACAUAUUUGGAAUCACCAAUCCGCAAGCUUCAAGAAACAUCUAUUAUCCUUGGAAAUAGANNNNNNNNNNNNNNNNNNNNNNNNNNNNNNNNNNNNNNNNNNNNNNNNNNNNNNNNNNNNNNNNNNNNNNNNNNNNNNNNNNNNNNNNNNNNNNNNNNNNNNNNNNNNNNNNNNNNNNNNNNNNNNNNNNNNNNNNNNNNNNNNNNNNNNNNNNNNNNNNNNNNNNNNNNNNNNNNNNNNNNNNNNNNNNNNNNNNNNNNNNNNNNNNNNNNNNNNNNNNNNNNNNNNNNNNNNNNNNNNNNNNNNNNNNNNNNNNNNNNNNNNNNNNNNNNNNNNNNNNNNNNNNNNNNNNNNNNNNNNNNNNNNNNNNNNNNNNNNNNNNNNNNNNNNNNNNNNNNNNNNNNNNNNNNNNNNNNNNNNNNNNNNNNNNNNNNNNNNNNNNNNNNNNNNNNNNNNNNNNNNNNNNNNNNNNNNNNNNNNNNNNNNNNNNNNNNNNNNNNNNNNNNNNNNNNNNNNNNNNNNNNNNNNNNNNNNNNNNNNNNNNNNNNNNNNNNNNNNNNNNNNNNNNNNNNNNNNNNNNNNNNNNNNNNNNNNNNNNNNNNNNNNNNNNNNNNNNNNNNNNNNNNNNNNNNNNNNNNNNNNNNNNNNNNNNNNNNNNNNNNNNNNNNNNNNNNNNNNNNNNNNNNNNNNNNNNNNNNNNNNNNNNNNNNNNNNNNNNNNNNNNNNNNNNNNNNNNNNNNNNNNNNNNNNNNNNNNNNNNNNNNNNNNNNNNNNNNNNNNNNNNNNNNNNNNNNNNNNNNNNNNNNNNNNNNNNNNNNNNNNNNNNNNNNNNNNNNNNNNNNNNNNNNNNNNNNNNNNNNNNNNNNNNNNNNNNNNNNNNNNNNNNNNNNNNNNNNNNNNNNNNNNNNNNNNNNNNNNNNNNNNNNNNNNNNNNNNNNNNNNNNNNNNNNNNNNNNNNNNNNNNNNNNNNNNNNNNNNNNNNNNNNNNNNNNNNNNNNNNNNNNNNNNNNNNNNNNNNNNNNNNNNNNNNNNNNNNNNNNNNNNNNNNNNNNNNNNNNNNNNNNNNNNNNNNUGGUGUAAAUUAUGUAGGGUAUUCCACCUAGCUCAGUUGCAUUUCAUUAUUGUUGAGAAAAACUAUUGCAUUACACUCAUGUGUUUUCAAAUGACUUGAUAUGAAAUUUCUUUAUAAUGGCUCUCAACUAUAUUUUGUAAAAAUAUUAUGUUUUGCUUUGAUAUCUCUGCGUACCAGUACUUUUGUGCUGACCCCCUCCCCUCUCCAACCUCCCAGGUUAAGAGGCCCAGUCUAGGGGUCAAGAGAAUCAGUAGAUCAUUCACACAGAGUUGUAGAGACAAGUGGUGAGCCUUCUAUGUUUCGGAAGGUCUUAUGUCCUGCAGUCCUUUUAUCUUAUAUUAGUUUUGGGUCUGCUGGGGGCCCUGUCCCAGUUUUCAGAUAGACAUUGUUUCAGUCAUGUAGUAGAGAUUUUGCAGACGGUUUUAGAGAUGUUGAUUUAGAUUGUGGGACACUAUUCCCCAUUUUCAUUUUCAUAUGAUUCUUGACCAUGUUUCCGUUAUAUUGUGUUUCUUUCGCAUUACUUUGAUCAUAUGAAUUAUGUGCAUGAUUAUCAGACAGAUAGGGGUGUUUUGGGCCUCCAUGGUUUGAAAUACUCAUCACGGCCAGGCCCUAGUUCGAGUCGUGACAAGCUAGCACGAGGAGAAAGACAAGUUUUCUAGGACAACAAAUACUUCUAGUGUCGUCCACGCCAACUCCAGUUUUUGGAUCUUCAACCCCAAAAGGAACGAAGUCCAAUGCAAGUGCUUCAAGGAGGAAGCAGUGUGGCAGAAUCGCUUAAUAAGACUUUAGAUCUACUUGAGCAUUCUGGUUCUAAAUACUCUGGCGCAAAGAGUGAUGUUCGUUCAAGCAACUCAUCAUCUCUGACCACACCGCAUAAGUUGCGCACUUCAAAGAUCAACUUGUGCAAUAAUCCAUGCUACUCUUCAACAUCUUCAGUGAUUACGCUAGCGAUGGUGACUGAUGCCUCGUGUAUGGAGGAACAACUUGUGAAUCUGACAAAGGCAAUUGAGAGCCUGACCAAAUAUAUUCAGAAUCAAGAUGCUCGAAUUGAUAAGAUAGUGGAUAGGGUGAAAUAUCUGAUAGACAAAGAAUCUAGUCAUGCACCUGGAAAAUCUCCAGAGAUUUAUGAGAUAGAAAAUCUUGUGAAACAAACACCACCGACUAAAGAGGUGUAAGUUUCUUCUGAGGAAAUGAUCCUGAUUGGGCAAUUGAGGGAAUUCAUUGAAGGGACCCUCAAAGACAAGUAUGAUGUUGUCACAAAAUCUUUCCUUGUGUAUGUCAAGCCCUACACUGCGAGGAUAAAUAGCCUCAAAAUGUCUGCCGGUUAUCAACCCCCCAAAUUUCAACAAUUUGAAGGCAAAGGGAACCCAAAACAGCAUGUCACACACUUUUGUUGAGACAUGUAACAACGUUGGAAAUUACAGUGACUAUCUUGUCAAAUAGUUUGUUCGUUCCUUAAAGGGAAACACCUUUAAUUGGAAUACGAACCUUGAGCCUAAUUUCAUCGAUAGCUAGGAGCAAUUGGAGCGCGAGUUUCUAAAUCGUUUUUAUAGCACAAGGUGUAUAGUGAUCAUGGUAGAGCUCACAAAUAAUCUCCAAAGAAAGGAUGAACCAGUUAUUGACUUCAUCAAUCGAUGGAUAAAUGCUAGCCUAAACUGCAAAGAUAGGUUCAGUGAAGCUUCUGCAAUAGAGAUGUGUGUCCAAGGAAUGCACUGGGAGCUUCUCUACAUCUUGCAAGACAUUAAGCCUAAAUCCUUUGAAAAGCUAGCUAUCCGUGCUCACGAUAUGAAGUUGAGCAUGUCUUCUGCUGGAAAGGAGGCAGUGCCUAUCCAUGACCCUCGAAGGGGAAAGGAUAAGCAGGAACCCAAAAUAUGGGCCAAGUUUGUCCCCAAAAAUAAAAACAAAGAGUCCAUGAAUGUUGAUGUGUCUCCUAUGAAGGUCACCAUAAAGGUGAGCAAGAAUCAAAGUAUGAAGAAGACUUCUGAAGCACGUCCGAAUCAGAAAACUUUAAAAGAGAUACAAGAAAAGGAAUAUCCCUUCCUUGAUUCUGAUGUUACUGAGAUUUUUGAUGAACUCCUUGAGCAUAAGCUCAUUGAUCUCCCAGAGAUGAAGCAUCCUAAUGAAGCUGGAAGGAGCAAUGGCCCUAAUUAUUGAAAUAUCAUAGGCUCAUAAGUCACCCUCUGAAAAAAUGCUUUGUCUUUAAAGAUAAAGUCAUGCAACUGGCAAAAGAGAAGAAGAUCUUCUUCGACGAUGAGACAGCCAGUUCUCAUUAAAUCUUCAUCACAUUUGGAUCGCUCAAUCCAGUCCAAAUAUGUGUUAAAGAGCAUAAUGAGAAAAUAUUAGAGUCUGAUAGGUCUUCAGUUAACGAAAACGAUGAUGAAGGUUGGACUCUGGUAACCAGGCAUAGACGCAAGAGGAUGAGUCUACAAACGGAGUUAUCCGAGCAUCCAAACAGAAGGACAAUGGUAAAGAAACCAAGGAACAAAAGUUGGUUGAAUUCCCAAAGAAGACGAGGGUGAUGGAGCUCUACCCCGAAAAACCUUAGUGUCCGGUGACUUUAGAGGAAUUGUUACUGAGUUGUUUUCGUGUAAAGAUUGCCCAAGUCAACCUUGAGGCGUCUUGUUUUAAUAUCGCCAAAGAGGGGGCAAAUGGUGAGAAUCUACCCAUGGUAGUUGUUUCAUCUUCCGAAAAGCUUGCUGAAACUCUUGGCGAAGAUGCACAUGUAUGUGAUACAAAAAUCACAUUCACAAAUAACGAUUUUCUGCUUGGUGAGGCCCUACAUAACCGUCCCUUAUACAUGGUGGGUCAAAUUCUAGGAAAGAAGAUCAAUAGAAUCUUGAUAGAUAAGGGAUAUGGAAUCAACAUCCUGCCUAUCCGCACGAUGAAGAAACAUAGCAUCGUUACUAGCGAACUGGAUGAAAGCCGUAUAAUGAUCCAAGGCUUCAACUAAAGGGGCCAGAAGGCUAUGGGUUGUAUUAAGUUGGGGAUUCAUAUGGAUGAUUUUCAAUCCAUUGAUGCAUGUGAUCGAUGCCAAAACUUCAUAUAAUAUAUUGCUUGGUAGGCCUUGGGUGCACGGGAACAAAAUUAUCUCGUCCUCUAACUAUCAAUGCUUGAAGUACCUCAAAGAUGGAAAGGAAAGAAAGAUAGUUGCCGAUGACAAGCCUUUCACUGAAGCUGAGUCAUAUUUUGUUGAUGCAAAAUUCUACUCAAAGAAUUAUGUUGUGGAUGAGAAGAGGGUUGAAGAUGUCACCAAGACCAAGUGUGACGAUCUUGCUUCUAAGAAGGCCGCGGUGACUUUAAAAAAAAGUCACCACCAAGAAGAAUCUCUCCACUUCAAAUAAAGAAAGUGUCGCUUCUAUGAAAAUAAAGGCAACUCCCGUUCUUCACUACGUACCAAAAGUAAAGAAAAAGAAAUAUCACUCAUCGGAUUUCCAAGAUAAUAUACUAAAGGGGCUAACUUUACCUAUCAGGAAGAUUGAUGCAAUAAGUCCAUCCUUAAGACUUCUUGAAGAGUCUGUGGCUCAAAAUAUCCCAUAAGAUAUGACACUCCCUACGAAGUGUACGAAAGAAUGCUUUGACCCAAAUGCAUAUAAGCUAUUUGUAAAGUAUGGAUAUAAUCCUAAUGAGACAUCAAGAUUAGGAAAACUUCCGUCAGAGGGUACAACCAGGCAGGCACGUGAAGGCCUAGGAUACACGCAGCCACCUCCAAUUUGCAUCUCCAUAAGAAGGGCAGACAGUAAUUACAUCAUCGUGGAAGAAAAAUACACUGUUGCUAAUAAAAGACCCUCUAUAUUUGACCGACUUAGAGGGUCAAAUGCAAGAACUUAUGUGUUUGAAAGGUUGGGACCUCUAAAUAAGAAGAAAAGCAACAAGCAUAAGAAGAGUCGUCAAAGCACGAUGAUGCACUCUUCACUUAAAAUACAGAAGGAUUUCCAAAGUUUGAUUUCUUCUAGAAUGAAGUGACAGACAGAAAUGGUAGUUUCAUACAACAAGGUGCUAAAAGCAAAGGCAGAUACUAUGGUUUAUACCAAGCAACACAAAGAAGAUUAAGAGAGUGUUGGCUCCUCAUAUUAUGUUACGAACCAGAACAAGAAAGAUGUCUCAUCUCAAAUAAAGGUUGAUGAAGAGAUAGAAGAUGCCUUUUGGUGUUGUCAUAUAUCUGUCAACAACUAUGAUCUUCAAGAGGAGAAAGAUGUUGGGGAUGUUCCAUCAUAACUUAAAGAAGGAGUAAAGGCCACAAUAGAUCCCUUGAAGGAAGUUAAUCUUAGAAUAGAUGAAAACCCAAGACCAACUUACCUGAGUGCGUUUUUAGAAGUGGAAGAGAAAAUCGCUUAUAUGGACACACUCAAAUAAUAUAUGGAUGUCUUCUCCUAGAGCUAUAAGGAAAUGCCUGGCUUAGAUCCAAAAGUAGCGGUCCAUCAGUUGGCGGUCAAGAAUGGUGCCCGUCCUGUUAAGCAAGCCCAAAGACAUUUUAGGCUGGACUUGGUUUCUUUGAUUGAAAAUAAAGUUAACAAACUCAUUGAAGGGAGAUUUAUUUGCGAAGUCAAAUAUCCCAUAUCGAUUUCAAGUAUUGUUUCAGUAUGGAAAAAGAAUGACCAAAUUCGAGUUUGCGUUGACUUUUGGGCUGCCCUAAGGAUGACUUUCCAAUUCCUAUACCAGAGUUGAUGAUUAAUUCCACCACUGGUUAUGAGGCAAUGUCCUUCAUGGAUGGUUCAUCCGGCUACAAUCAAAUUCGUAUGGUGCCAAAAGAUGAAGAACUCACUGUAUUUUGUAUGCCCAAAGGUAUUUAUUGCUACAAGGUGAUGCCUUUUGGUUUGAAGAACGCUGGUAAUACUUAUCAAAGGGAUAUACAGAACAUCUUUAAUGGCCUGCUCCAUAAAAAUGUUGAAUGCUACAUCGAUGAUCUAGUGGUGAAGUCAAGAAAGAGAGACGACCACUUAAAAGACCUAAGAAUGGUAUUCGAGUUACUUCGAAGAUAUUAACUUAGGAUGAAUCCAUUAAAGUGUGCCUUUGGAGUUACUUCUGGAAAGUUUCUUGGCUUUAUUGUGUGACACCGAGGAAUUGAAAUUGAUCAAGACAAGGUCGAUGCUCAAAAUAUUCAUGAGUUAAAAAGCCUCCAAGGAAGGCUAGCAUAUUUAAGGAGGUUCAUCUCAAACCUGACCAGAAAAUGUCAACCAUUUAGUCAUCUCAUGAAGAAAGACACUCCCUUCGAAUGGGACCAAGCUUGUAGUAAUUCCUUUGAUAGUAUCAAAUCAUAUUUAAUGAAGCCACUAGUUCUUGCGGAAUCCAUACCUAGGAAACCAUUGAUACUUUACAUCGCAGCACAAGAGAGGUCAGUUAGAGCACUACUGGCUCAAGAAAAUAGUGAUGGCAAAGAAAACUCUCUUUACUAUUUGAGUAGAAUGAUGACGCCGAAUGAGCUAAAGUAUUCUCCAAUUGAAAAGUUAUGUUUGGCAUUAGCCUUCUCGAUUCAAAAGAUGAAGCACUACUUUCAGGCUUAUGUUGUUCGUCUUAUGUCUAGGGCAAAUCCCAUAAAGUUUAUAAUGUCAAAAUCAGUCCUUAGUGACCGACUUACAAGAUGUACCUUCAAUUUCAAUAGUUUGAGGUUGUGUACGUUCCCCAAAAGGCUGUAAAGGGACAAGCAUUGGAUGAUUUUUUGGCAGAUCACCCGAUACCUGAUGAUUAGGAAUUGAGUGAUGAACUUCCUGAUGAAGAUGCAAUGGUUAUUGAAGCUAAACCCUCAUGGAAGUUGUACUUUGAUGGUGCCACACAUCGAUAUGGAGAUGGUGCCGGUGUGGUGUUUGUCACUCCACAAGAAGAGGUCAUCCCAUACUCUUUUACCCUUACAAACCAUUUCUCUAAUAAUGUUGUUGAAUAUCAAGCUUUAAUACCUGGACUUGAGAUGACAAUUGACAUAAAACAACUGCAAUUACAAGUCUUUGGUGACUUCCAAUUGGUGAUCAAGCAGCUUUUGGGAAGCUAUAAAGUCAGAAAGCCUGAGCUACGACCAUAUCAUGACUAUGCACAGAAGUUGAUGGGGUGGCUUGGAGAAGUAAUCCUCCAACAUGUACCAAGGAGAGAAAAUAGGCAAGUUGUGCCCUAGCUGCUUUGGCCUCAACCCUGACUCUUCCAAAUCAGACUCAAGUCACUAUACGACAAGAAUGGGUAGUACCGCCAACAACUGAAGAUGAAGAAAAUAAAGUUGAAUACCUUGUUGCCAUAUCUGAAGUUGAAAAAGAAGAUUGGCGACAACUUAUCAUUGAUUACUUAUGUUAUGGGAUACUUCCAGAGGACCCAAAAAGAAGGACAUACAUUCGUCAUCGUGUACCUUACUUACUUUACUAUAAGGACACACUGUACAGAAGAUUAUUUGAAAGAAUACUCUUAUGGUGUCUGGGAGAGAGAAAAUCAAUUCAAGCUUUGCAAGAAGCACACUCGGGAGUGUGUGGAUUAUAUCAAUCUGGACUAAAGCUUCAUUUUCACAUUGAAAGGAUAGGAUACUAUUGGCCAACGAUGGUGAAAGAUUGCUUGGACUAUGCUAGAAGAUGCAAAGCUUUUCAAUUCCAUGCGAAUUACAUUCAUCAACCUGCUGAAGUACUACACCCAACUGUAGCAUCUUGGCCGUUCAAUGCUUGGGGAAUGGAUGUUGUUGGUCCACUACCAAAAUCUUCUGGUGGACACUUAUACAUCUUGGCCGCGACAGAUUACUUCUCAAAGUGGGUCGAAGUUGUUGCUCUUAAAGAAGUAAAGAAAGAAAAUGUUGCAAACUUUAUUCGAGUGAAUAUCAUCUGCCGCUUUGGAAUUUCUCAAUAUAUAAUAGCUAACAAUGGCAAGCCGUUUGAUAACAAACUGAUGAAUAAAAUUUGUGAUCUCUUUGGCUUCAAGCAGCGCAAGUCUUCUAUGUACCAUGCGCCGCCGCCAAUGGUCUAGCUGAAGCCUUCAAUAAAACUUUAUGCAGCUUGUUGAAGAAAGUUGUCUCCAAAUACAAACGAGACUAGCAUGAGCGAAUGAAAGAAGCUUUAUGGGUGUAUAGGAUAACUUAUUAUACGCCAACGCAAGCAACCCCAUACUCGCUUGUUUUUUAAGUCGAAGCAGUCCUGCCACUUGAGCGUCAAAUACCUUCUUUGAGAUUGGCUAUUCAAGAAGGGUUCACUGAUGAAGAAAAUUCUAAGUUGCAUCUUGCGGAAUUAGAAGCUCUUGAUGAGAAGAGGCUGGAGGCUCAACAAAAUCUUGAAUGUUAUCAAGCCCGGUUAUCUCGUUAUUUCAACAGAAGGGUUCGCUUAAGGUGAUUCCAAGUUGGAGAUCAAGUUCUUGCAGUAAGAAGGCUCAUUAUCACUUCUCAUAAGUCUAGGGGAAAAUUCACCCUAAAGUGGGAUGGACCAUAUGUAACGCCCCGCAUUUUGGGCUAGAAUAAAAACCAUGAUUUUGAUGCGUUGCUAAUCCCGAAGCCAUAAAAUCCUAUGCCAAUAUGGCAUGUUAAUUAUUGUAUAGCAUGUGAAUCCGCUCAAGCUUGAAUUUAAACCAUAGAGGUCCUUCAACUCAAGGACGAGUUGAAACUAUUUUGAUCGACUAAGUUUUAGUAGACGUUGUAAAGUGUGUCAACUUCCAUCGACCAUAACUCUCUGUGUAUAUUGAAUUAGAAAGCCUACUAUGUGUCAAAUAAUAGGUAUUCAAGUUAGCUUUCCAACGAUAUAAAUUUGGCUAAAAUCCAACACCCGAGCAAGAAGUUAUGGCCCUUCAAAGUGAUAAGUGACGCCUAACCAAUCGCCCAUGGCCACUGGAAAGCAUAGGCGAUAGCCUAGGCAGCGCCUAUGUGAACAUAGGCGAUAGCCUAGGUGGUGCCUAUGUAAACAUAGGCGAUAGCCUAGGCGGCGCCUAUGUGAAGAUAGGCGAUGGGACAAAGUGGUCCUUUUCCACCCUUACUUAGCCCUAAAACAUGAGAUUUAGUUCCAAGGACCCCAAAAUACAUAUUCUUUCAUCAAAAGUGCUCAAGAUUCUUCUUAGGAUUUCAAAAAUGAAAACCCAAAUAGUUCAAGACUUGACCGUAGGUUUUCAAAGAUAAUUACAUAUUUGGAAUCACCAAUCCGCAAGCUUCAAGAAACAUUUAUUAUCCUUGGAAAUAGAAGUACGUGGGGCUAUCCAAAAAAAUCUCAUGGGUGUAGUUGUUCACCACUUGUACAUGAUGAAGCACCUUGGUUUUUACCUGAUUAUGCAUAUGUGGAUGUGAUAUUGAUAACUUGCAAGUUGGGUAUGACGAUACCCUACAGAAAACGAUAUGCGAUUGAAUAAGAUGAAAUUUGAAUGCAUUGCUUUUACAUUUGAAAGGUGGAUGCCCGAAGAAGGCGUUUGAGACACAAGUGGCUCGUCGCUAAAAGAACGUGUUUGCCGACAUGGAAUAUCGGUACUAUGCUUUGUGGUCUUGCGUACCUGAUAUUAUAUUAUCCCAAAUUGGAAUUAUGGUUAGGAGUCAUGCUUUGUGGUCUUGUGCACUACCAUAUUUGAUUUGGGUCGAAACACCAUGCUUUGUGAUCUUGUGUGUGUCUCCCUCACUUAUACUCUAAUCUCGGCGGCAACCGAGGUUUGACAGUUGGUGUAAAUUAUGUGGGGUAUUCCACCUAGCUCAGUUGCAUUUCAUUAUUGUUGAGAAAAACUAUUGCAUUACACCCAUGUGUUUUCAAAUGAAAAUAUCAUGUUUUGUUUUGAUAUCUCUGCGUGCCAGUACUUUUGUGCUGACCCCCUCUCCUCUCCAACCUCUUAGGUUCAGAGGCCCAGUCUAGGGGUCAAGAGAAUCAGUAGAUCUUUCAAAUAGAGUUGCAGAGACAAGUGGUGAGCCUUCUAUGUUUCGGAAGGUCUUAUGUCCUGCAGUCCUUUUAUCUUAUAUUCAGUUUUGGGGGUCUGCUGGGGGCCUUGUUCCAAUUUUCAGAUAGACAUUAUUUCAGUCAUAAAGUAGAGAUUUCGUAGACGAUUUUAGAGAUGUUGAUUUAGAUUGUGGGACACUAUUCCCCAUUGUCGUUUUCAUAUGAUUCGUGACCAUGUUUCUGUUAUAUUGUGUUUCUUCCGCAUUACUUUGAUCAUAUGAAUUAUAUGCAUGAUUAUCAGACAGAUAGGGGUGUUUUGGGCCUCCAUAGUUUGAAAUGCUCGUCACGGCUAGGCCCUGGUUCGGGUCAUGAGACCAUAUGUUGUAUAAGAGGCAUAUUCAAAUGGUGUUUACUAGCUUGUCGAUGCAGAUGGUGUGAGGGUUGGCCCCAUCAAUGACAAGUUCUUGAAGAAGUACUAUCCUUGAAGGAAGAUGACACUCCUUAAGGCACGAGUAUAAACUGCAUGUACACUCCUUAAGGCACGAGUAUAAAUUGCAUGUCCACUCUUGGCCCGCAAGAGUAUAAACUGUGUACGGCUAAAAAAAAAUAAAAGUCCGCUAGGUUGAAAACCUCGGAAGAG